Molecule: long non-coding RNA, 49434 nt
Filed under: Sorghum bicolor (sorghum)
Lineage: Eukaryota; Viridiplantae; Streptophyta; Magnoliopsida; Poales; Poaceae
Description: long non-coding RNA (SBIC_LNC008476)
Rfam family: Plant small nucleolar RNA R71 (bases 15296-15404)
Source: RNAcentral
AGUUGUUAAAGGAUACGAUAUGGGAAGGUUGAGCUGCUGUUUAUCUGUUCCUAGAGAUGCUAGAAUUCUGGAGAAUUUUAUCUUUGAAAAUCUUUAAAAUAUUACAUGAUGAGUUCCUAUAUGAUGAGAGUUUAAAUUCCUACCACAGCCAUACAUACAUGCUUGCUAGACUUUGAGCCACACAUUUACUAUUUUCUGCUUAUGAGCAUUGAGUGUGGUCAAGCUGUGUAGAUCCUUAGGAGCUUGUCAUGUGGUUAAAUUAAGAUUCACUUGCACGUUCACUCACACAUGCUGCUUCUACUCCAGAAGUACCAUCCACAUAUAUCCACUCAUUUCCAUCUCGAGAACCACCCAAAAAUAUUCUACUCCUAAUCCAGGAGAGAAUAGCCAAAAAUAUUUCAGUUUUUCCCCUUGUGAAAUAAAUACUCAAGUUAUCUUGUUACUACCACUUGCUAUAUUAUCUCAAGAGAUGAGUGCUCUAAAAUAAAAAAAGAGAUACGAGGAAAUAAAAAGGGGCAAGUGCCUGGAACCUCGAAAGAAAAGAAAAGUGAGACGAGAGGUAAAAAUGGACAAGUGUCCGACAGUAGAAUUUGGGGUACAAGAUACCCACCUGAGAGGAAAGAAAAAGAAAAAGAAGAGCAUCUCAUUCUCCUUAUAAAGUUUCAUAUAGCAAGGAAGGUAUGUAUCCCCUCAAAAGAGCAAAAGUAGAAUUAGACUUUCACCAUUGUUAUCACCAUCAUCACCAUACACCAUUCAUUUGCCACACAUGCACAUCUUGACUUGGCUUAUUGAUUUGUUUCUUUGGAUCCAUGGUUUGACUAUGCAAUAAAUGUCUUGUAAGUAUGUAUACUUUAUCUCCCACCUAUGAGCUCCAGAUAUUAAAGCUUUAUUAGAGUAGGGUGAGAGAGAAGGCGAUGUCACUAUGCCUUAUACCACAAAGACUACAUAUUUUGAGAGAAGGCAUAUACCAUCACUGCCUUGGUAAGGAUCUAGAAAUACCACAAAAGAGAGAUAUGAGAGAGUCAUACAAGGAAUCUCUGAGUUUUAUUUGAAAAUCUGCAAAAAACUCCAGAGCUAUAGCUGAUUAAGAAUAAUAGACAUGGCACUUGAUUAGACUGUUCUAUCUUUUAACUACUCAGUACAGAAGUGACGGUUACAAGUCCCAUGGUGAAAGGUAAAGUAAGUAAGUUUUAAGUCUUGACAGUUUACUCUAAAUCAGAGAUGAGAUCUCAUUUAAAAGCAUGUGUACCGUCAAAUUUUUAAAGGUAUUGCAACAACUUAUGAUCCAUAGCUGAGUCUAUCCUUGCUCAGGGACGAGCAAGAGGUAAGCUUGGGGGAGUUUGUUGACGGUCCUUAAGUAUCAAAUUUAAUUAUAAAAUAAACAAAGAAAAGGAUCCAAACGAAAUCAACAUCCAGACUUAGGGUUUUAUUUGACAGAAUUCCACGAGUUUUGGUGUUUGUCUAUUUCUGCAGGGGGCUAUCUGGAAAUACGGAAGAAAGGCCCACACGUCGGGAUUACAUAGAGAUAUCAAUGUCCCGCGCAAUUAUCUUACAUUAGAAGACUCCAGAAGCCACGGGAAGGAAGCGGAGGCCGAACGGGGCCAGGCACUGGGCGCCCGCCCCCUGUUGGAGUCCAAACAGGACUCUCUUUCGGGAAAGAUCUCCACCGACCUAAAGGAUCAAGGAUAACUGUUCAAUCAAUGUCUGUUUGAUCCAACGUCCCAUAUUCACUUGAAGAGACUAUAAAACCAGACCCCCUGGCCCCUGGAGGAGGGAGCCUCUCAACCCUAAUUCAUUAUUCUUCAAGGGAGAAGAAGCCUCUGAUCAAGAUUAGAGCCACCACAUCAAUUAGAUAUCUAGAUUAGCAUAGCUACAUAGGAUUAGAACUAGAAGGAGUCAAUCUUCGAUUGGUUUCCGGAUCUGUCAAGAGGAUUCUUGGUAAUUCUCUAAUUGUGCUUCUAAUUGUUCUUCAAAUCAUCUUUGUUCUUCAAUACUUUGUUCUACUUCAAUAUAUUGCUUAUAUUCAAGAUUAUAUUGUUUUUAGUUUAUCAUAGUUAUAUACUUGGCUUAGUUAGAUUAGAUCUAUAUACAUGUUUAGGAUCGUAUAGCAUUUAUCCAUCGGAUCCAUGGGUAAAUGAUAGAUAUUGUGUAGGCUUGGUGCUUAUACCGUAUUUAUCUGCAAUUGUACCGAAUAUGCCAGAUUGUGGGGUAGUUCGUGAUAGUGACAGCUUCAUUGAUUCUUAUAUAGUCCCCCUCUCGUGUAUUGGGCUGGCAGAGCAACAUUAUUACAGGGGAGUGAUUGCUAUGUUUCUCAUUUACCUUGCUAAUAUCACUAUGCAUGGGCGUAGUCUUGUCUCGCAAUGAUUGCUAAGUAUGCUUGCACUAACUAUGAUAAUGCUAGACAAUAUAGUUGAGAAUAACUUAGGAAAUAUUCUUGUAGUUCGUUCUAAUACCAUGCUAAUGACUUUGUAGAGUAUCUAAUUGAGGUGCUUAACAUAUUUAUUAUGUGGCUAAGUUAUGAUCAGAUUAAUUAUCUUUGUCACUAUUCAUUACUUCAUAUAUCUUUUAUGUGACACUUACCUCUGUAUGAAAGAAUUAGAUACAAUGUUCUCAAUUAUAUAUGCAAUGAUAGAUACUCAAUCUCAUAUUCUAUUCUGUAAUCAAUAUUAAUGAUUGCUAAUCCCUUCCCAGUGGUAAAAAUAUAAAUAACGAUACCUGGAAUACUUCUCGGUUAAAAUGCUACAUCGGUAUUAAUCUGUGCGCUUGCAAAUCUCAUUCAUUAUUUAUUUAGAAGAGCAAUUGCAUAUUUCAAUACCGCAUCUCUCAUGUCAUGCUGGGGAUGACAACUUGGCUUAAGUGGUAUGAGAGAUAGGUUUGGCAUUUUUGGCACCGUUACUAGAAUUAGAAACUGUCUACUUUUGGUAAUGAUGUUAAGAAUACCCAACACUUGGUUGGGUGAAAGUCGGGCGAAGUUCACUAUUGAGAAACUAGCUAAAGGUGCACCAGACGCUACACUAGACGCACCCCCAGUGCGUCCGGUGUGGAGAGUCUCCUAGUCUGCAUUCACCGGACAUUCUUGUAGUUCGUUCUAAUACCAUGCUAAUGACUUUGUGAGGAGCGACCGGUGCUGCCUGAGGCGCGCCUUGAGGCACCGGACGCAAGGCGAGCGUCCGGUGAGCAUCGUUCGGUGCUCGCACGACUUUCAGACCCCUCUGUGUUUUAGUCAGGUGGGCACCGAACGCGUCCAGUGACCACUUAAGUGCGUCCGGUGCCCCCGCAAUCGGCGGAUAUAACACGAGCCUGCAGGCUCUCUCUCAGCCGGUUUAUUUUCUCUUCACACAAACCUCCAACUGCCUGAGCCCCGUGCCCUAGCUGCUGAGAAACCACCGCCGACGUGGUCUCCUCAAAGCUCCGGCGUCCUUCAGAUUCUCCGUGCCAGAUCCCCUCUAGGAUUCUUCCUCCUCCCUCCUCUACGCGCUGGGCCUCUUCUCGUGCAUAUUCUAGGGUUUUGGGGUGAGUUCUCUAACCCUUGCCCAUAAGGUGUUUGAUUCAAUGCUGUAAUGGAUUAGAUUAUUGUUUUUGAUGGUGAUCUCAUCUGUUCAACACUUGUAGCACCUUGUGGGGUUGGUUUGCAUUCUUCGGUGGAUUCUGAUCUUCAUCUUUCAUUUGGAACAUGUCUCAUCGAAGGAUUGUAAGCAGUUCGCGUCUGUUCUUAUCUAUCUCUUGCGAUCCUUAGGGCUUUCUCAUCUCUAGCUAUUAUCUAUGCUUAUGUAUAUCCUGCGUAUUCUAUGUCUUGCAGCACGUUGGUCUCUAGUUGACAAUUGUCAGUGGCAGUUGAACUCACGACCAAGCCCGCAAGUAUGGAUUGAGGCCAAGCCACAUGAGUUUCAGCUUUAUAGCUUUGGGAAGUGUUUCAGGGUUGUGUUCUUGCAAUGGCACGUUGCAAGUAUAUCAGUGGUCCGACAGCUGGCAGUGGUGGCACUUUAGGGGGCGAUGGGGGAGAUGACAGGCCCCGUCGUCUGACAACUGUAGAAAAGGGCAGAGGCAAGAAGGUAAUGACCAAGAAGAGGAAGGCUAAUGAUUGAGAGGUCGAGAUAGCAGAGGCAGUGGCAGCAACUGCAGAGGCAGCAGAGAAAGGUGGUCGCUCAAGUACUCUGCGGAUUGGAUCCGACCUGACGCUAGCCCAGAGGAGUGCAGUGCUUUAGGUAGAGCAGUGACACGGGACCCCUCCUGGCACCAUUAUGCUAGGAGGUCAUCGUGUCAGGAUCAACGUCACUGACCCAGGGAAGGAGGAGACCGAGUUAGAGGGUCAGGCAGAGCCCGCUGAGACAGAGGCUAAGGCUCAGGCAGCGGGUCAAACAGAGGUUCAGCAGGAGGAGUAGCCCCUUCGUCGGUCGACUCGUACUCAUACCCUGGCAGCUUCUAGGACUGGUACGCAGCAUUAGUCUUCUUUGAUGGUUCGCUCCACUACAGCUCGGGGCACUCCAGCUGCACGCCCAGCUCCAGCCAGGAUCCAUAAGGACUACACUCAUGCACCAACUCGUGAAAUCUAGGAGUUGAGGUUUGCACCUUUCUCCACUUGGUUUCCAGCAGCCAGAGAUCAGAGGGCACAUGCUAGGUUCUACACUAUCGUCCAAGAGGACAUGUACAUGGCAUUUGUCCAUGCCCAAACUCAGUUCAGGGAGCAUAGAGUGCUUGACCUUGAGAUACUAGGGAACGUAGUAGGUGCAGACAUCAGGCAGUACUUCACGUACCUACCAGGUCUCCUAGGUCUUCUUGCUUUGCCACACACCUAUGUCGAGGAGUGGGUCAGGGAGUUCUUUGCUUCAGUAUGGAUUGCUCCUGACCACAGCUAUAUCCACUAUGCAUUGGCAUGUAUAAAUUAUAGAAUGUCAGCACAGAGGGCUAGAGAGACUUGGGGGCUGAGAGCAUAUGACACCAAGAUACAUGAGCUGUGAUAUGGCAGGUUUGAGCCCCCUCAACGACCACAUGGUGGUGUGCUUCCCCCUGUUGACUUUGUCUCACCGUGCUUUCGUCAACCGUUUGGUGAGGGCUCCAGCAGGACAGUAAGAGAUCUUACCCGUCUAGCUCGGAUUCUAGACUUAUGAUGAGGAAGACACUUCUCCCCAGACCAGGCUACUGUGAUGGUUUCACCAGGAUACAACAGUGGUUGAUAGCCCACCUAAUUGCUCAAAGGCCGUUUGAUUUGUGGGACUUGAAUGUGUUAGAUAUAGAGGAUAAAGUGGCUGAGGGCUUCAGGGGUCGACGUCAGCUACCCUACGCACAUUGGAUCACCAUGCUCAUUCUUCAUGCUAGGGCACACCCUCUUCCACCUCAUAUCUAGAGGUAGCUGAUAGAGGCAGACAUAGUGUUCUCGCACUACGACCCCCGCUAGAUGUUGAGAGCCCAUGUGGAUAUUCGAGCUCUAGCACCUCCUCUAGCCCCACGUGGCCAGGUGCCACCACCUUCACCUAGGGCUGCCCACAGUUCAAUGGGAGUUCCAGAGACACGGAGGAGCAGGAUAUUGCUAUAGGGGCAGUAGAUGCUGAUGCCGAGCAGGAGAUAGACUUUGCUUCAGAUAGCUCGGAUGAUGAUUAUCAUCUUCCUAUCCUAGAUCUUCCUUCGAGGCAGCACGACCAUGAGGCAGGAGGCUCUUCUAGUGCCAUAGACCCUGCACUUCUUGCUAUUCUUGAGGGGAUGAGGGCAAGAUCAGCGGAGGGCAGCUGUGGAGCAGGCUAGGAGGGAUAGAGACCAGGCUGCCAAUGCAGCCAUGUAGGCUAGGCAGGAUGAACUUCAGAGACAGCUUCUGACUUUCCAGGAGCAGCAGCUAGCCUUCCAGGCUUAGCAGACAGCUAUGAUGGCCGCUCUCAUGGCCGCGACAGGGAUUCAGCUUCCACAGGUGUAGCUUCCAGGCACUUCUUCUGUCAGGCCACCGACUCUAGUGCUACAGCCCAGUGGGCUACAAAGUCAGUCUCAGCCGCCGCUCCAACUAUCUGCUCAGAGUCAGUCGUUCUCGAUUCUACAGCAUGAGGUUUCCAAGGGUGCGAUAUCUUCUGGAUUUGAGCAGGUACAUCAGUUCACACCUCUGCGAUCAGGGUUUACUCCUCAGUCUGCCAGUGCUUCCUAGCUUAUGCUGGACUCAUCGAUAGGGCAGGACAUCUCUUUAUCAUACAGUGCUCUGAAUGGUCAGCUGACUACACCGCCAUUGCAGGCUCUUGCACCUUUUACUCUACCAGUCACCACUAUAGAGUGCCUGUCAUCGUCAAUAGCAUCGUCCGAGCAGCUAGCACCUUCCUCUACAGUUCCUGAGACGUCAGCUACAGCUAUAGAGUUAGUGCCAGUAUCCUCAGCAGGUCUUGAGACUCCAGCACCCACUUAGGCAGCCACAGAGCCCAUAGAGUAGACCCAGACCGCUUCUCCAGCUCGUCUCAUUUCAGAGGGUCACUCCGCCUCCUCAGAGUCGACAGCAGAUGGCAUAGAUGAUGCAGCUCAGUUCGAGGCCGUGCCACGCGACUCCUUGUUGACACUUGCUAACACCACUUGAAUACUAGGUUGUCAUCCCCAACAUGGCACUAGAGUGUACUAUGGUAUUUAUCCGCACACAGAUAAAUCCACAAGCGCACGAAUACCGUUGUAUCUUUUACCCGGUUAAAGGUUUUAUCGUAUCCACAGGGAAAUGGGAGAACUCAUCUACACUCUAACUUAACCUAGAUAGAAAGAUGGUAGAAUAUAAGAACAAUAUUAAAGGUAAGAUAACAAUAGGUGAUAAUAUGGGAAUAGAGAGUAGAGCAAUCUAGUAUAUGGGCGAUGGUAGGAGAAUAUAGUGGAUAACUAUGGUUUCUCUACUUCAAAGGGGUAUGUCUAUGUCUGGGACGAACCACAUGAUAAGAAUACACCACAAAGGAUGCUUAUCCAUAGGCCGAUAAACCCUACCAGUCCUGCUAACGGGAGGUGGACUACAGUGGACCAACAUAGCUGUCACAUACGCGGCCUACCACACGAUCCGGCUAGACAGGGGAUAUCAACAAGUAAUCUAGGUCUAAGCACCACGCUUACACCUAUACUACAACUCUAACCUAUAGCGUCCUAUAGAUUAAAAGUACUAGAAAGAGUUACGAACCAGAACAUAUAUGGAUAGUAAUUGCAUAAUAAAAUAAGAAGUAGAUUACCAGAGUCAUCCCAUGAGCAAGCUUGAUUAGAGCUUGAUCAUGGCGAAGUACAACCGGAGGAAGAACCGACAGGCCGGCCUCUCCAAUCCUCCCUCACUCUCCAUCUCGCUACUAUCUAGAUCUACUCUAGUUUAGAGAAUAGAGGAGAGCUCUCAUCUCCAAACCCUAGCUUUUGCUCUGUCUAUGAAUAAUGAAUAGGGAUCAAGGGGUUGUCUCCUCCAGGGGCCAGGGGUCCUGCUUAUAUAGUCCCCUCAAGUGAACGUGGGCUGUCGGAUCAAACCAACCUUAAUCGCACGGUUUUCCUUGAUCCUUUAGGUCGGUAGAGCAUAAUCCACGAGACGGGACCUGAUUGGUCUUUGUAGCAGGGCGGGCGCCCAAGGGGGGAGGGCGGGCGCCCUGCCCCCGGGCCCGUUCAGCCUACCGUUCGUUCCCGUGGCUUCUGGAGUCUUCUAGAUGACAGAAAAUUGCACGGCACAUUAAUAUCUCUAUGUAAACCUGACAUGUGGGCCUUUCCUCCAUGUUUCCUGAUAACCCCCUGCAGAAAUAGAUAAACACCAAAACUCGUGGAAUUCUAUCAGAUAAAACCCUAAGUCUGGGUGUUGGUUGCAUUUGGAUCCUUUUCUUUAUUUAUUUGUUGAUUAUAUUUGGUACUUAAGGACCGUCAACAACUCCCCCAAGCUUACCUCUUGCUCGUCCCUGAGCAAGGAUGGACUCAAGAGUUUCUGCAGUGGUUUCAUGCCUUAAAGGUACACAUGCGUUUAAACAAGAUCUCAUCUUUGGGCUAGGGUAAACUAUUAAGAUUUAAAACAUACUCAUUUUACCUUUCACCAUGGGGCUUGUAACCGUCACUUGAAUCUUGAGCAGUUAAAAGAUAGAACGGUCAAGUCAAGCGCCAUUUCUCUUGUUCUUUGAUCAACUAUAGCUCUAGAGUUUUUGCAGAUUUUCAAAAAAAACUCAGAGAUUCCUUGUAUGACUCUCUCAAUUCUCUCUUUUGUGGUAUUUCUAGAUCCUUACUAAGGCAGUGAUGGCAUAUGCCUUCCCUCAAAGCAUGUGGUAUUUGUAGUAUGAGGCAUAGUGAUAUUGCCUUCUCUCUCAUCCUACUCUAAUAAGGCUUUGAUAUCUGGAGCUCAUAGGUGGGAGAUAAAGUAUACAUACUUACAAGACAUUUAUUGCAUAGUCAAACCAUGGAUCCAGAAGAAGUCAAUAAGUCAAAUCAAGAUGUGCUUGUGUGGCGAAUGAAUGGUGUAUGGUGAUGAUGGUGAUAACAAUGAUGAAAGCCUAAUUCUACUUUUGCUCUUUUGAGGGGAUACAUACCUUCCUUGCUUUCUAAAACUUUAUGAGGAGAAUGAGAUGCUCUUCUUUUUCUUUUUCUUUCCUCUCAGGUGGGUAUCUUGUACCCCAAAUUAUACUGUCGGACACUUGUCCAUUUUUUCCUCUCGUCUCACUUUUUCUUUUCUUUCGAGGUUCCGGGCACUUGCCGCUUUUUAUUUCCUCGUAUCUCUUUUUUUUAUUUUAGAGCACUCAUCUCUUGAGAUAAUAUAGCAAGUGGUAGUAACUAGAUAACUUGAGCAUUUAUUUCACAAGGGAAAAACAGAAAUAUUUUUGGCUAUUCUCUCCCGGAUGAGGAGUAGAAUAUUUUUGGGUGGUUCUGGAGAUGGAAAUGAGUGGAUAUAUGUGGUGAAAGUCUAAUUCUACUUUUGCUCUUUUGAGGGGAUACAUACCUUUCUUGCACUUUGAAGCUUUUUGAGGGGAACGAGAUGCUCUAUAUUUUCUUUUUCUUUUCUCUCAGGUGGGUGUCUUGUACCCCUAAUUCUAUUGUCGGACACUUGUCCAUUUUUUACCUCUUGUCACACAUUUUCUUUUCUUCGAGGUUUCGGGCACUUGCCUCUUUUUAUUUCCUCGUAUUUUUCUUUUUCUUCUUUUUUUAGAGCACUCACCCUCCUAGAAUAAUGUAGCAAGUGGUAGUAACCAAAAUAUCUCGAGCAUUUAUUUCACACGGAAAAACACGAAUGGGAUAAUGUUUUUGGCUAUUCUCUCCCGGAUAGGAGUAGAAUAAUUUUGGGUGAAUCUAGUCCUUAGGAGUGCCUCAGGGUCGGAGAUGUAGUUUUUCGGCAAAGAGAAACCAGGCAUACACUAUUCCUCCUGUUUCAUCCACAACAGGGAGAAAAUAGGCAGAGUUAUCCUACAUAACAAUUGACUCAUUACGCACAUCAGAUUACUUGAUUAUAUUAAUCUAGAAUCAUUUUCAUAUUAGCCUUCCCCGGCAACGGUGCCAGAAAUGCUUGUUGGCAUUUCUUAACGUCAUCACUAAGAACAGGGUUUAAUCCGUCCUUAGCAACGAUGUCAGAAAUGUCGUGAUAACACUUACUAAUGCAAUCACCAAGAUUAGAGUAUAAAUCUAUCCUAAGCAACGGUGCCAGAAAUGCUUGUUAGCGUUUCUUAGCGUCACUACCCAGAAUAGGGUUCUGCUCUACUCAUGAUAAUGACAUUGGCAGUGUUAUAUUGGCAGAUCCGUAGCAUCACCACCUUGAAUAGGAAACUAGAUCAACCUUCCCGAUAACGGCGCCUUAUUACCGUUAGGGUUGGGUUCCAGUUCUUAAUCAUGGCAGUGGCACUAGGAUUGCCAUGUUGGUAUUCCUUAACAAGUCACUACCUCAGCGCAUGUCUAGCAACAGUGUUAAGUAUAUACCGGGGUGAUAGUUCCUUAGGUUUGGAGUUCAAGUACCGCAAGCAGACGGGAAUUAUCGUGUAGCAUUUCAACCCGGGGAUUUACCGAGUGUCGUAUUUAUAGGUUCGCUCUAAGGAAGGCUUAAUAUGUUAAGGAUUCUAAGAUAAGCAUAGAUCAAAAUAAUUAUGAUAGCAAUAAUGGAAUCAAAGGUCAUAGCAGGUGAUAAACAUUUAUAUGUAGAAUAGUGAUCCAUCACAAUAUAGGCAUGGCAUAUGGGCUAAGGAAUAAAAAGAGACUAAAAGAAUGAAUUGAAUCAAAGAAUAAACAAACAACCUAUUGGAGCAGGUGUGGUCCUAGAUACAGAUCAUGUCAUAGAACAAGUUAAUCAUGUAAUUAUACUACUUAGAUAUAGUCCUAUGUUUAGAUGGUUUGGGAGGUUACGCGAGUACUGGUCUGCCAGCAACCUCCGCAACUAUUUAGACUCCUACACCACCUGCCACCAUCCCCUCAACCGUGGACUAGGACAAUGCAUUUACCCGGCCUUUACACCCAAGCACCAUGCUUACAUGCAAAGAACCUACUCGGACUCCCCCGGGUCCCCGACCCUACGGAUCGACCGGUAAUAAGCCCAAGCCUAAUCAAAAGAGCAUGAUAAACCCCCAUCUUCACACAAAGCUAUUUCUAGGCAAUUUAUUAACAUGAAGCAAUUAGACUAAAGUCCUAAGUGAGAAUAAUACAACAUACACUUAGCACUAGUUCAUAUAAUACACUACUAGCCCUAGGGUAGCAUUAUACUAUAAGAACUAUAUACUAAAAUGUAUAUCAUAUCAUUUCUACUAGAACUAUAUUCUAGUUCAUAUGCUAGCAUCAUAAAACAUGGCCUAUGAUCUAUAUCAUAUACCAUAGCAUAAGAACUAUACUCUAGUUCAUAUGAAGAACUAUAUCGGACAUGAUAAGGCAUGGACUUGGAGUAAAGAUAUUCUUUAUUCAUACCCAAGUUUCUCUCCAAGGAGCCAAGCCCUCCUUGAUAGCUCACCGAACUCUUUCUCUAAAAGCUAAAAUGAAAAACUAAGAAGAGGUAGUGCCCAAGUGCCUUGAAGGUGGAGUGUUGAUUAUGAAUGUGAUGAGAUGAAUGGAGCCUCCCUCUCCCCCUCCUUAAAUAGGUGGGGAAGGUCGGUUCCCCAGGGUGUAAACUGCAAUUUGCACGCAGGGACUACAGGAGGAUAGGCUCAGCACCGCCUCUGCGAAAGGCGGUGCCGAGAUGGGCUGGGUCAGGGUCGGCCGACCCUAGGGGGCGGCCGCCCCCUGGUGGGCCCCGCUGGCCCGGCCCGAAACCCGUUGCCUUCCUCUUGGGCCCCUGAGUCCAGAUCCACCUGCAAAUUGAUGCACUUUUAUAUUGGGCUUUUGGGUACUUGUUUAUUUGCGCAUUUUUUGACGUGUCAUAUUGCGCCUUUUUAUUUGCUUUCCACCUGUAUGCACGUAUAUGAUCUGCAAAACACAACUUGCACUACAUGUGGAACUUGGUAAGCAUUUAAUAAGUAUAUGUGAGUAAAAUACAUGCUUUUCUUCCUUUGCAUGGACUAUGUUGGCGGGGGGAAUAUGUCAUUAAGAACCGCCAACAAACUCCCCCAAACUUACCCCUUGCUCGUCCUCGAGCAAGAAGCUAAGAUCUUGGUUGUUGAUAAGGAGUUGCUACAAUAUUUUCACUUCUAUCUAGUACAUACCUUCAAACAAGAAUUCUCCUUUGAAUUUUGAACAGAUAUGUCAUGGGGCUUAUUGCUCAUACCAUGGGUCCUUAAGCAUUUGCAGGAUGGAUUUGAUCAGAUCGAGCGCUAUGUCCCCAAUUCUACUGUUGGGCACUUGCCCAUUUUUUUUAUUUUUUUGAGGUUCCGGACACAUGUCCCUUUUUAUUUCCUCGUGAUCUUUUUUUUGAGGUUUCGGACACAUGUCCCUUUUUAUUUCCUCGGAUGUUUUUUUUCUUUUUCAUAGCCAUAUGCCUUCUAACAAACUUUUGAGAUGAUAACAUAAUGAAAUAUUUUUGUUUUCAAUGGUAUGACAACCUCUCAAAGGGUCAACAAAGCUUAAUCUAACUCAAUGUGAUUAUUUUAUUUUUGUAAAAACUCCAGAACUCUAGCGUUGUUUAGAACAGGAUACUAGCAACUCAAAUCAUCACAAAUAUAUCCAUUAAUUACUUUAGACUUUAGAUAGAGCAUUUUGGAACCCACGCAUUUAAUCAUUUUAUUAAUUUGGAGAAUUCAAGGUUGAAACUAGAUACUGGAAAGAAAUUACGAUAGAGCAACUAUUCAUCAUUUCAACAAGGAAGAAGCAUAUAUCUUACAUCACAUAUAAGAGUGGAAUUAUAUUUUUGUCUUUUUAGAAUUUUUCAUUUUUUUCAUAUGCAAUAAUUAAAACAUGAAUUUAACUAAUGGAAAUUUCAUAAAGUAAACAUGCUAAUUUAAAAUUAAGGAUGCAUGAAAAUAAAUAUGCAAUGCAGAUAACCUCGGGAUUGGGGGUCCUCCCCCAAGCUAGCUUCUGGCUUACUGAUCGGGGUUGUACCCCAUGUACCGCCAGAAGUCUUGGGGCUGUUUCAGCAGCUGAUCUUGGUGAGCUUGCAUUUCUUCUUGCUGCUGCUGGUGCCAGGCCUGUUGUUGCUGUUGCCAUAGCAACCCUUGCUGGUGCCACUCCACGGCCUGCUGGUGGUGCGCAUCGGUGGUUUGGAUGUGUUGUUGGAGAGUAUCCUGGAUCUCAUCCGUGCGCACCACCAGUCCCCCAAGCUGAGCUUGGAGGCGCUCCAAGUCGGUUCGGCCUACUAUGGAGGCCGAAGGAUAUUCUUCUGGUGAUUUGGCCCUCCAGCGCGAUUGUUGUUCCCAAGCGCUGGAAUCCGCCUCAGCCCACCCCUCAAAACCAUGUGUCGGCAUGGGUGUGUCCCACCCCGACUGGUAGAUCGGCUGUGUAUAGGAGGGUGGUGGCUGGGAGCUGGAUCCACCGAUGUCCCUGCCAGAAACACUACGCCUUCGCGCAGUUUCAGCUGUCUGCAGAUCAAAGGUUAGUCUCCCAGAGUUAUACAAGCGUAGACCCGGGUUAGGUAACCGGAUUACGUUUGUAUACCCUGAGAAAUAAAACACAAGACCGCCCGCAUUAUCUCUUUUCAAAUGGUGACCUUGGAUAAGAUAGGUUUCAUUAAUCAUGGUGCGUGGAAUUUGAAUAUAAUCAAGAUCUUGCCCUUCCAAUGCACCAAUGGUCGUGGCCACACGUGUUAUGAGUGAAGUCAAAGAGAUAGGGGUGUUUGUCUUGAUUAUAUCUAACCAAUGCCUUACAAUUUCUUGCACAGGCGCAACUUUUAUUUUCAUUCUAGCCGCGUAAAGUAACCUCAUUUCAUUUACUCGCACAACGCGGGUAUCCUGGCUAGGAAACAUUGUUAUGGAUAGCCAAAGGUGUAAAAACCUUAGAGUGGGGUGUUGGAUGUGGGCAUUUCUAGGAUAGUAUUUUCUAGUGUGAACUUGCCCCGUGAUUUCUUCCCAAAACUUAUCCUUAUUAAACCCUUUUGUGGCAUGCACUAAAUCAAGAGAGCAUCUUUGAUGAAAACCAAGCUAUUUGCUUAAGUCUUUCCAAAAGAUAGCAUAUUCAUUUCCAAAUAAACGAACAGAAAUACCUUCAUAUGUUUCUCUUAAAGUGCAUAGGAAUUGAAUGGUAAGGGUAUAGGAUCCAUACUCAGUUAUGGGGUGAAUGUUGUCCCACCCAGCGGCUUUCCAUAUGGAGAGGAAUUCAGAGUCCAUACCGAUGUCGGAGAGGAGCGAGUCGUCGUAGACCGGCGUAUGGAGGAAGAUCCGGUCCUUGAGCAUGUUGUAGGCUUGAUGUUCUCGAUCACCCACCAAGUCGAAUUGGUGGGCUCCUCCUUCUUCUUCUUGUUCCUCCUCUUGUUCCUCUACCUCUUCCUCUACCGCCUCGAUCUCCGGGGAUUCUUCCUCAGCGGAAGGACUCCAUGGAGAUCGGUGUAGUAUGAGGAAGUGCUCCGAUAGGGUCGCUUCGAGGAUGACCUCAUGAAUCUUUUAAACGCCCCCGAAACUGUUUUGCCGAACCUUUUCAUGGUGCAAUGCUUGCAGCAGUGGAUAGCUAGCUUGGAUAGGUGAUUUUUUUGUGAGGUUUCUGCUGGUGGUUGGUUCGAAAUAGCAAAGAUGUGAAAGUGUUGCUUGGAGAGUGAAGAUGGAAGUGAUGAAGUAAAGUGAGAAUGGGUGGAGGGGGCCACACCCGAACCCCUUGUAUUUAUAGUUUGAAAAUGCAGGUGGAUUCGGGGUGAGGGCAACGGCUAGGAGCCUCCCCCAGCUGGCCGUUGGCUACAGCCGUUGGGGGGGGGCGGCCGACCCUAGGGGCGGCCGCCCCCUGGUGGGCCCCGUUGCUCCCCAGCUUUUGUCUCCAUCUUCCAACGGCUAGUUUUUGAAGUUUUCCGUUGGCAUAUUGAUGCACUUCCAGCUGAAAAAUGACUUUUGCAAUUUCCAACAUUUAUUUGUAAAACUUUUAUUUUUGAAUAAUUUAGAAAAAAUAUUUUUCUAUUAUUUUAUUUUAUUUCCUAGCUGAAAAUGAAUUUUUGAAUAUUUUUCAAAUUAUACAUAUAUAUAUAUAUUUUUAAGAUAACUACCGAUUACAUUCGGCGGAGGCUCAAAAAAAAUGUUUAUAGUCCUUUUUGAGAAGGACUCUCUUCCGUCGUUUGAAUUUCACCCUGCAUGAUUAGUGGGAGAGUUCUCGGGUUGCCCCGGGAGUCUACCCGCAUUCUCAGUAGGAAUUGCAGCGGCGAUCUGAGCUAGUUGUGUUUCUAUCAUUUUAUUAAAUCUCAGUUGGUUUUGUACGGAAGAGGCAAGGUUUUCUAUUUUUGUAUUUAUGUUUUCUAAAACCUUAUCAUUGGACAACAACUUUUUAGUUAAGUUUUCAUUUAUUUUAGCUUGUCCAUGAACUAGGUAUUUUAAUGAAGGUUGAUUCGAAUUAAAACUCGAAUUACCUUGGAAUGAAGAGCGUGACAGAUUAUUCCAACCAUUACCUUGGUUGGCGCCUCCUUGUUGGCGAAACCCGUUGUUGAUGUAGCAGCGUCUUCAUGGGUUUCGGGGCAAUCAUUCCCCGAAUGACCAACUUCUCCACAGACCUCGCACGUCAUGUGCGAGUCUAUGGCCUUCACCGAGUUCGAGGGGUUCUCUUGGUUCUUCUCGGUGAGUUGCUUCAUCAAUAAAUCUAUUCUUGCGGCAAGCAUAUCCGUCUCCUUCACGGUAUGCAUGCCUUUUUGUAUUUUGGCAGCUGGUGGUUGAGUUCUGUCCUCCCCCCAGCUCUGGUGUUCUACCAUCUUCUCGAUCAGGGCCUUGGCCCCGGCGGUGGUAAGUGAUAGGAACGCACCUCCAGCGGCGGCGUCUAGGUGUCCCUUCGACAUGGCGUGAGCCCAUUGUAGAAGUUCUGGAGCACCAUCCAGUUCUCUAUGCAGUGAUGGGGGCAGCUUAGGAUGUACUCUUGUAGCCCCUCCCAUGCUUCAGAGAUCGUUUCGCUGGCAUUUUGUUGAAAAUUGGCAAUCCUUCCCCUCAAAGCAUUGGUUUUGCUUAUGGGGAAGAACUUGGCGAGGAAUGCCGCGGAGCAUUUUGCCCACGUGGUGGCAGCUUCCAUAUCUUGAUAGAACCACCUCUUUGCCUUCCCCACGAUGGAGAAAGGAAAGAGGCGGAGCCGAAUGACAUCAGGAGUGAUGUCCUUGAUGACAAUCGUGUCACAUAGCUCUAGGAAGUGUUGAAGGUGUGCUUUCGCAUCCUCGCUUGGCAAGCCACAGAAUGGGCUCGCCUGCACCAUGGUGAUCAGGCCGGUGCGUAGCUCGAAGUUCUUGCCGGCCGUGCCAACAGUGGGGCCAGUGGCCACGUUGGUGACAGCGGGUACGGAGAACUCGCGGAGUGUCUUCUUGGCGGCCAUGAGUUCGUUCGGGGUUGGUGCGAUACCGGCUGGUUCACUUGUCGGUGGAGUAGCAGAAGACGAAAUAGUUCGAGACCGUCAAGUCCUUAGGAGUGCCUCGGGAUCGGAGAUGUAGUUUUCCGGCAAAGAGAAACCAAGCAUACACUAUUCCUCCUGUUUCAUCCACAACAGGGAGAAAACAGGCAGAGUUAGCCUGCAUAACAAUUGACUCAUUACGCACAUCAGAUUACUUGAUUAUAUUUAUCUAGAAUCAUUUUCAUAUUAGCCUUCCCCGGCAACGGCGCCAGAAAUUCUUGUUGGCAUUUCUUAACGUCAUCACUAAGAACAAGGUUUAAUCCGUCCUCAGCAACGAUGUCAGAAAUGUCGUGAUAACACUUACUAAUGCAAUCACCAAGAUUAGAGUAUAAAUCUAUCCUAAGCAACGGUGCCAGAAAUGCUUGUUAGUGUUUCUUAGCGUCGCUACCUAGAAUAGGGUUCUGCUCUACUCAUGAUAACGACAUUGGCAGUGUUAUAUUGGCAGAUCCGUAGCAUCACCACCUUGAAUAGGAAGCUAGAUCUACCUUCCUGAUAACGGCGCCUUAUUACCGUUAGGGUAGGGUUCUAGUUCUUAAUCAUGGUAGUGGCACUAGGAUUGCCAUGUUGGUAUUCCUUAACAAGUCACUAGCUCGGCGCAUGUCUAGCAACAGUGUUAAGUAUAUACCAGGGUGAUAGUUCCUUAGGUUUGGAGUUUAAGUACCGCAAGCGGACAGGAAUUACCGUGUAGCAUUUCAACCCGAGGAUUUACCAAGUGUCAUAUUUACAGGUUCGCUCUAAGGAAGGCUUAAUAUGUUAAGGAUUCUAAGAUAAGCAUAGAUCAAAGUAAUUAUGAUAACAAUAAUGGAAUCAAAGGUCAUAGCAGGUGAUAAACAUUUAUAUGUAGAAUAGUGAUCCAUAACAAUCUAGGCAUGGCAUAUGGGCUAAGGAAUAAAAAGAGACUAAAAGAAUGAAUUGAAUCAAAGAAUAAACAAACAACCUAUUGGAGCAGGUGUGGUCCUAGAUACAGAUCAUGUCAUAGAACAAGUUAAUCAUGUAAUUAUACUACUUAGAUCUAGUCCUGUGUUUAGAUGGUUUGGGAGGUUACACGAGUACUGGUCUACCAGCAACCUCCACAACUAUUUAGACUCCUACACCCUAGCCGAACGUGGGGGAAUGCCAAGGACAGACAGGGCUGUCACCACCUGCCGCCAUCCCCUCAACCUUGGACUAGGACAAUGCAUUUACCCGGCCUUUACACCCAAGCACCAUGCUUACAUGCAAAGAACCUACUCGAACUCCCCCGGGACCCCGACCCUACGGAUCGACAGGUAAGAAGCCCGAGCCUACUCAAAAGAGCAUGAUAAACCCCCAUCUUCACACAAAGCUAUUUCUAGGCAAUUUAUUAACAUGAAGCAAAUAGACUAAAGUCCUAAGUGAGAAUAAUACAACAUACACUUAGCACUAGUUCAUAUAAUACACUACUAGCCCUAGGGUAGCAUUAUACUAUAAGAACUAUAUACUAAAAUGUAUGUCAUAUCAUUUCCACUAGAACUAUAUUCUAGUUCAUAUGCUAGCAUCAUAAAACAUGGACUAUGAUCUAUAUCAUAUACCAUAGCAUAAGAACUAUACUCUAGUUCAUAUGAAGAACUAUAUCGGACAUGAUAAGGCAUGGACUUGGAGUAAAGAUAUUCUUUAUUCAUACCCAAGUUUCUCUCUAAGGAGCCAAGCCAUCCUUGAUAGCUCACCCAACUCUCUCUCUAAAAGCUAAAAGGAAAAACUAAGAAGAGGUAGUGCCCAAGUGCCUUGAAGUUGGAGUGUUGAUUGUGAAUGUGAUGAGAUGAAGGGAGCCUCCCUCUCCCCCUCCUUAAAUAGGUGGGGAAGGUCAGUUCCCCAGGGUGUAAACUGUAAUUUGCACGCGAGGACUGCGGGAGGAUAGGCUCAGCACCGCCUCUGCGAAAGGCGGUGCCGAGAUGGGCUGGGUCAAGGUCGGCCGACCCUAGGGGGCGGCCGCCCCUGGUCGGUCCCGCUGGCCCUGGCCCGAAGCCCGUUGCCUUCCUCUCGGGCCCCUGAGUCCAGAUCCACCUGCAAAUUGAUGCGCUUCUAUAUUGGGCUUUUGGGUACUUGUUUAUUUGCGCAUUUUUUGACGUGUCGGAUUGCGCCUUUUUAUUUGCUUUCCACCUGUACGCCUGUAUAUGAUCUGCAAAACACAACUUGCACUACAUGUGGAACUUGGUAAGCAUUUAAUAAGUAUAUGUGAGUAAAAUACAUGCUUUUCUUCCUUUGCACGGACUAUGUUGGCGGGGUAAAUAUGUCAUUAAGAACCGCCAACACCCGUUCAGCCUACCGUUCGUUCCCGUGGCAUCUGGAGUCUUCUAGAUGAUAGAAAAUUGUGCGACACAUUAAUAUCUCUAUGUAAACCCGACAUGUGGGCCUUUCCUCCAUGUUUCCUGAUAUCCCCGUGCAGAAAUAGACAAACACCAAAACUCAUGGAAUUCUAUCAGAUAAAACCCUAAGUCUGGGUGUUGGUUGCAUUUGAAUCCUUUUCUUUAUUUAUUUGUUGAUUAUAUUUGGUACUUAUGGACCGUCAACAACUCCCCCAAGCGUACCUCUUGCUCAUCCCUGAGCAAGGAUGGACUCAAGAGUUUCUGCAGUGGUUUCAUGCCUUAAAGGUACACAUGCGUUCAAACAAGAUCUCAUCUCUGGGCUAGGGUAAACUAUUAAGAUUUAAAACUUACUCAUUUUACCUUUCACCAUGGGGCUUGUAACCGUCACUUGAAUCUUGAGCAGUUAAAAGAUAGAACGGUCAAGUCAAGCGCCAUGUCUCUUGUUCUUUGAUCAACUAUAGCUUUGGAGUUUUUUUUGCAGAUUUUCAAAUAAAACUCAGAGAUUCCUUGUAUGACUCUCUCAAUUCUCUCUUUUGUGGUAUUUCUGGAUCCUUACUAAGGCAGUGAUGGUAUAUGCCUUCUAUCAAAGCAUGUGGUAUUUGUAGUAUGAGGCAUAGUGAUAUUGCCUUCUCUCUCAUCCUACUCUAAUAAGGCUUUGAUAUCUGGAGCUCAUAGGUGGGAGAUAAAGUAUACAUACUUACAAGACAUUUAUUGCAUAGUCAAACCAUGCAUCCAGAAGAAUAAGUCAAUAAGUCAAAUCAAGAUGUGCAUGUGUGGCGAAUGAAUGGUGUAUGGUGAUGAUGGUGAAGACAAUGGUGAAAGUCUAAUUCUACUUUUGCUCUUUUGAGGGGAUACAUACCUUUCUUGCACUUUGAAGCUUUUUGAGGGGAAUGAGAUGCUCUAUAUUUUCUUUUUCUUUUCUCUCAGGUGGGUGUCUUGUACACCUAAUUCUAUUGUCGGACACUUGUCCAUUUUUACCUCUUGUCACACUUUUUCUUUUCUUCGAGGUUCCGGGCACUUGCCCCUUUUUAUUUCCUCGUAUUUUUCUUUUUCUUCUUUUUCUUAGAGCACUCACCCUCCUAGAAUAAUGUAGCAAGUGGUAGUAACCAAAAUAUCUUGAGCAUUUAUUUCACACGGAAAAACAGGAAUGGGAUAAUGUUUUUGGCUAUUCUCUCUAGGAUAGGAGUAGAAUAAUUUUGGGUGAAUCUGGAGAUCGAAAUGAGUGGAUGUAUGUGGAUGCAUACUUCCGGAGUAGAAGCAGCAUAUAUAAGUGAAAGUGCAAGUGAAUCUUGAUUUUAACCGCAUGACAAGCUCCUAAGGGUCUACACAGCUUGACCACACUCAAUGCUCAUAAGCAUUAAAAAGUAAAUGUAUGGUUCAUAGUCUAAUAAGCAUGUAUAUAUGGUUGUGGUAGGAUUUUAAACUCUCAUCAUACAGGAACUCAUCAUGUGAUAUUUUAAAGAUUUUCAAACAUAAAAUUCUCCAGAAUUCUAGCAUCUCUAGAUAAACAGCAACUCAACCUUUCCAUAUUGUCGGUGUUUUCCCCCCGGGGGGUCACACGAACGAGUAAAACUUGUGUGCGUGCUCCCCUUUCCAGAUGGUGAUGCAAGAAAAGACAAAGAAUUAUCCUGGUUCGGGCAAGAGAAGGCCCUACGUCCAGCGGGGGGGGGGGGGGCAGGAGUGUUUGUAUUAUCUCGCACCUAAGUGCUUAUACAGGGGUGAAUACAAGUUUGUGUGGGUGGAAAGAUGAAGUAUGGUAGCUCUUCUACGUAUGUCUUGUGUUGUGUAUCCUCUCCUGGGCUUCCCCUUUUAUAGUUCUAAGGGGAGGCCUAGGUUACAUGCAUAGGCGACAGAGUAGGGGUCGAUAGGGGUGUGGCGCGCUGACCUACUCAAGGCCUCCGUACCGGUGUGGCCUCAAGCUGUCUUGUCUUGGUACCUUGAUGAUGAUUACACAUGCCCCUGAAUCCCACUCCUGCGCGCCGUCCUGGACUAGUUUAUCUGUUGCACGCUUGUACGUCGUGGUAGCAGCUACGUCGGAGUGGUUGAGGUGCUGUCAUUCGUCGCCUGAUCCUUCCCCAGGAAGGAAACGUGCCUACUCGAGGGUCAGGUGCCGUGCAACGCCUUGCUCGCCAGAGCGCUGACUUUGGGCGUCUCGAGGGGGUCUUGACUAGACGUUCCGACCCACUCCCUGCGCCCUGCCACGUUCUGGCUUGUUUGGUGGGGAAGGCUGCAAAAAGAACGACAGGACGGGUGCUUGUUCCCAAUCACGCUUCCCGUGACUGACAGGUUAGGUGAGAACGCGGUAGGCGCAUUAAAUGCCCUGGUUCCCGUGCUCGCAUUAGACGGCGGGCGGCAUCCUUGCGCUCGAGGCCUUUCGAUUUGUACGAGCCUGUUUUCGUAUUCGAGGGUCGUUGGUAGUCGAGCCUCAGACGAUUCGCACGAUGCUCUUUUCGUGUUCGAGGCUACGGUCGUCGAGGACCGUGCGUACAACUGGGGGGGCGUCGAGUGUUGACGGUCCUUAAGUAUCAAAUUUAAUUAUCAAAUAAAUAAAGAAAAGGAUCCAAAUGAAAUCAAGAUCUAGACUUAGGGUUUUAUCUGACAGAAUUCCAUGAGUUUUGGUGUUUGUCUAUUUCUGCACGGGGUUAUCAGGAAAUACGGAAGAAAGGCCCACAUGUCAGGAUUACGUAAAGAUAUUAACGUGCUGCGCAAUUAUCUUACAUCUAGAAGACUCCAGAAGCCACGAGACCAAAGUGGAGGCGAAACGGGGCCAGAGACAGGGCGCCCGCCCUGUCCUACUGGGCGCCCGCCCCCUGUUGGAGUCCAAACAAGACUCUGCUUUGCGGGAAGUCUCCACCGACCUAAAGGAUGAAUCUAAACCAUACAAUCUAUGUCGGUUUGAUCCAAGGGCCCAUAUUCACUUGAAGGGACUAUAAAACCAGACCCCCUGGCCCCUGGAGGAGAGAGCCUCUCAACCCUAAUUCAUUGUUCCAUCAAGGGAGAAGAAGCCUCUGAUCAAGAUUAGAGCCACCACAUCAAUUAGACAUCUAGAUUAGCAUAGCUACAUAGGAUUAGAACUAGAAGGAGUCAAUCUUCGAUUGGUUUCCGGAACUGUCAGGAGGAUUCUUGGUAAUUCUCUAAUUGUGCUUCUAAUUGCUUUCUAAUUAUCUUUGUUCUUCAAUAUUAUGAAUAUGACUUUGUUCUACUUCAAUAUAUUGCUUAUGACUUUGCUCUACUUGCUUAUAUUCAAGAUUAUAUUGUUCUUAGUUUAUCAUAGUUAUGUACUUGGCUUAGUUAGAUACGAUCUAUAUACAUGCUUAGGAUCGUAUAGCGUUUAUCCAUCGGAUCCAUGGGUAAAUGAUAGAUAUUGUGUAGGCGUGGUGCUUAUACCAUAUUUAUCUGCGAUUGUACCCAAUAUGCCAGAUCGUGGGGUGGUUCGUGAUAGUGACAGCUUCAUUGAUUCUUAUAUAGUCCCCCUCUCGUGUAUUGGGCUGGCAGAGCAACAUUAUUACAGGGGAGUGAUUGCUAUGUUUCUCAUAUUCCUUGCUAAUAUCACUAUGCAUGGGCGUAGUCUUGUCUCGCAAUGAUUGCUAAGUAUGCUUGCACUAACUAUGAUAAUGCUAGACUAUAUAGUUAAGAAUAACUUAGGAAAUAUUCUUGUAGUUCGUUCUAAUACCAUGCUAAUGAAUUUCUAGAGUAUCUAAUUGAGGUGCUUAUCAUAUUUAUUAUGUGGCUAGAUCAGAUUAGUUAUCCUUGUCACUAUUAUUAUUUCAUAUAUCUUUUAUGUGACGCUUAUCCCUGUAUGAAGAGUUAGAUAUAAUGUUCUCAAUUAUACAUGCAAUGAUAGAUGCUCAAUCUCAUAUUCUAUUCUGUAAUCAAUAGUGAUGAUUGCUAAUCCCUUCCCAGUGGUAAAAAUAUAAAUAACGAUACCUGAAAUACUUCCCGGUUAAAAUGCUGCAUCGGUAUUAAUCUGUGCGCUUGCAGAUCCUAUUCAUUAUUUAUUUAGAAGAGCAAUUGCAUAUUUCAAUACCGCGUCUCUCAUGUCAUGCUGGGGAUGACAACUUGGCUUAAGUGGUGUGAGGGAUAGGUUUGGCAUUUUUGGCACCGUUGCUAGAUUUAGAACUUAGUCUACUUUUAGUAAUGAUGUUAAGAAUACCCAACAAGUAUUUUUGGCGCCGUUGCCGGGGAAGGUUGAUUACUAAUCAGGAAUGGAAUAAAAGAUUUUGAGUUAUCAUUCGCAUCACUAAUAUGAUUGAGCUUAUCUAUUCUCUCAUACAGUUUUACCCCGAUAUUUUUCUAUUUUAUCUUAUGCAGGGGAAUGUAUGAAUAGAAGACAUCUUCCAGGAAAUUUUGUUGACAAUCCCGAAGCAUUAUUCAAGAAGACGAGAGCCAAGCUAAAGAAAUCAUCAACACUUCACGAAGAAGCUUCAUCCAAUUAAGAAGAUCACCGGAACUUGUCUUCAGAGUUCGAAGCCAUGGCGAACAAAUCGAUCCGCGAGUUCUCAGCUCCCACUACGGACAAUAUCCGCACUGGACCUGCUGCAGAGAUCGAUGGCAACUUUGAGCUCAAGCCUGGACUUAUCAACAUGGUGGGAAGGCACACGAAGAUGCUAGUGCUCAUUUACAACACUUCCUGGAGAUUUGCAACACAUUCACCAUAGCAGGAGUUUCCAAAGACGCUAUACUACUUCGCCUCUUCCCAUUCUCACUGUUAGGAAGAGCGAAGCAGUGGUUCUACGCUACAAAGGAGAAGAAUACUACGUGGGCACUCUGCUCAACAAACUUCCUGGCUAAGUUCUUUCCCAUGGGCAAGACCAAUGCUCUCCGUGGGAAGAUUACAAGUUUUCAGCAACAAAAUGAUGAAUCUGUUCCAGAAGCAUGGGAGCGCUUUCAAGACUACAUCCUAGAAUGUCCCCAUCAUGGAAUGGAGAGUUGGCUAUUGAUGCAGACGUUUUAUCAUGGGCUCAGCAACAGUGCCCGAGAAACCAUGGAUGCUGCAGCUGGAGGAGCAUUCUUAUCACUUACUAUACCACAAGCCACAACUCUUGUGGAGAAGAUGGUGUCCAACCAAAGCUGGAAUGAAGAGAGGACCCAGACACGCAAGAGAGGUGGAGGUAUGCAUCAGCUGAAGGAGGUAGACAUGCUGUCUGCAAAGCUAGACCUACUGAUGAAGAAGCUCGAUGAUAGAGCUGGAGACAAGAAAGAAGUUAUGCACAUCUACGACUCUCACAUGACUUGUGAGGAGUGUGGAGACACUGGACACUCAGGCAACCACUGCCCUGAGAUACUUGAGGAUGUGAACUACAUCAACAACAACAACAACUACUACUACAACCGUCCUCAACAAAAUCAAGGUUGGAAUCAACAGAGGCCUAACUACUCAGGUAAUUAUCAAGGUAACAAUUCUUAUAACAACAAUAGUAAUUUUCCACCUUUGAGAGAGUUAGUGUCUAAUCAAGGAAAGCUAAUGGAUAACCUAUCUAAGAAAUUGGCAUCUAAUUAUAAAAUGCUAGAAAAUAUAAAUAAUAGAAUGGAUAAUUUUUCUACUGCCAUCAAGAAUCAAAUUAGCUUUAAUAAAAUGAUUGAAUCUCAGUUAAAUCAAAUAGCUGCUGCUGUUCCUACUACUAACCCCGGUAUACCAUCACAACCGGAAGGAUUAGAAUCUGCAAAUCUUGUAGACGUGUUUGAUGCAGGUAAUUGGAGUAACCCCGUCACUGAAUUUUCUUCUGACCUUCUGCCGGUCAAGAGAGGCGAUCCAGGACGCCCCGUCAUCCCGAUCUCCAUCGGCAUGGUGGAUGUCCCAGAAGCACUCUGUGACUUUGGCUCCAGCGUCAACAUUAUACCCUGGGUACUCUAUGAAAAAUUCUUUACAUAUCCUUUAUUAGAGACAACCAUGUGUUUGCAGUUUGCAGAUCCGACGAUAACUUUUCCAAAAGGAAUAGUGAAGAACCUUUGUGUCCGAGUUGGUACCUUAUAUGCCCCAGCAGACUUCGUAGUGGUAGAGACCGGAAAUGAUGAGAGAGCACCUAUCAUCCUAGGGAGGCCAUUCUUGAACACCACGGGAGCUAUCAUCUACGCCAGUGCUGCCAAGAUUAGUUUCUACGUCAAAGGGAAGAAGGAGACAUUUUUCUUCAAGAACAAGACUACACAAAUUCCAAAUCAAUCCAGACGUGAAUCAAGGAAGAGGACCAACAGGAGGAACAGGGACAAGCAAGUGUGGACCGAGUCAGCUAAGAUGGUCACUGUAGUUCAUGGAGGUCAAGAUCACCAACUUAAGUCACCAUUUUUGACCAAGAAGGAGGACCCAGGAAUGCCAAGCAUUUACUGCUCCAUACAUGGAUAUAGCUUCUACAAGACAAUUUGCGACACCGGAUCGGGCGUCAACAUAAUGGCUGCAGUCACCUAUCGGCUCUUGUUCGGAACCAUGCCACUAAGACCAACAUACAUUCAGCUCCAGAUGGCAGAUCAGACAUUUUGAGAAGUUCAAGGAAUAGUAUCUGAUGUCCCAGUCAAAAUAGACGAUCAAUUUGUCUACACAGACUUUCAAGUUGUUGACAUGGGAGAAGACGAGUAUGAUCCACCCGUCAUCCUUGGAAGACCGUUCCUCAGCACCGUUAAAGCAAUUAUCUACAUUGGAACCGGAGAAGUCCAUAUGCACUUCCCCUCAGAGAAGGUACGCCGUUAUUUUACUAACCCUAACUAUAUCAUUGAAGAAUCUAAGCAGGUAAUAAAGCGACGCAACCGCAACCAGAGGAGGCAGAUCAUCAAGGACGGAUGGGCGGACUAUGAAGGAGAAGUUGUAAGGUCAGAAGACAUAGAGUUUAAACAGAAUUAUCCAGAGGAGAUUGAAGCACCGAGUCAGGUAUGGAAAAUGAAGAUAACUAUACAAGAAGAGGAGGCGCUGCCGGAAGUACCGACUACGCCACCCAACGAACCUCAGGACGAUUAAGAAAAUGGAGAGUCCCGUUCGGAGGACUUAAAAACACCGAAUGCCUUGCCAAGAGGUAAACUUGGUAGUUAUCAUUUCCCUUUCAAUUAUUUCAAAUAGUUUACUUAGUUAAUCAUAUUCACACUAUCUUAAAAAGAAAAUAAAAAUGUUAAAAACAGUAAGCCCCAUGUGAGUAGACGAGCGGUAUGAAACCCAUAGGUACAUUCACUGUGGUGGCAUAAAAAUAAAAUAAAUAUUUUUCUGCUUUAUAAAAACAAAAAUAUAAAAACAGGGAGUAAUAAUUAUUAAGGAGUCUCAACAUGAUAAAGGCUAGAUAUUUAUGCUAACACUUAAUCAGUUCCACAAGCUUUGUUGUCUAUUUGAGCUCCACAGAAUUUAAGAAUCAAGAAGACUAGCAGACGGAGGACAUCCUAAUCGCUGUCAGAAUGCUGCUGACUUUCAAAUACACCUCUACCACCUGCUAGCUACACCAAGAGAAAUUACGUCAAAAUUCAGCUUGGGGGAGAGCACCCCCAUUUAUCCCGAUAAGUAUUUCUUUCUAUCUAUCUUUAUACUUAUAUUAUUUUAGAAUAUAAAUAACUAUGAAAAAACCAAAUAAAGAUUUUAUGCUUAUAUAUAUGCCUUUUGCUUAGUGUGUUUAAUAAAUAAAUAAAGUGGCUAUGCUAAUCUGUAUCUAAAUAAAACUUAAGCAUGGAUAUGAUAAAUAGUUGCUCUGCCUAAUUAGCAAGUUUUAAGUUCUCUCUCAAGUUUAGAUAUAACUGUUAUAAUUUAAAUCUUGCUCUAGACCUAAACUUGUGGGAUGAAAACUUGAUCUGAAGUCUAAGUUGUUAACGGAUAUGAUAUGGGAAGGUUAAGCUGCUGUUUAUCUGUUCCUAGAGAUGCUAGAAUUCUGGAGAAUUUUAUCUUUGAAAAACUUUAAAAUGUUGCAUGAUGAGUUCCUGUAUGAUGAGAGCUUAAAUUCCUACCACAGCCAUAUAUGCAUGCUUGCUAGACUUUGAGCCACACAUUUAUUAUUUACUGCUUAUGAGCAUUGAGUGUGGUCAAGCUGUGUAGACCCUUAGGAGCUUGUCAUGUGGUUAAAUCAAGAUUUCACUUGCACGUCCACUCAUAUAUGCUACUUCUACUCCAGAAGUACCAUCCACAUAUAUCCAUCCAUUUCCAUCUCCAGAAUCACCCAAAAAUAUUCUACUCCUAAUCCAGGAGAGAAUAACCAAAAAAAAUAUUUCUAUUUUUCUCUUUGUAAAAUAAAUGCUCAAGUUAUCUUGUUACUACCACUUGGUAUAUUAUCUCAUGAGAUGAGUGCUCUAAAAAAAAGAGAUACGAGGAAAUAAAAAGGAGCAAGUGCUCGGAACCUCGAAAGAAAAAAAAAGAAAGUGAGACGAGAGGUAAAAAUGGACAAGUGUCCGACAGUAGAAUUAGGGGUGCAAGAUGCCCACCUGAGAGACAAGAAAAAGAAGAGCAUCUCAUUCUCCUCAUAAAGUUUCAAAAGCAAGGAAGGUAUGUAUCCCCUCAAAAGAGCAAAGUAGAAUUAGACUUCCACCACGAUUGUUUCCACCAUUGUUAUCACCAUUAUCACCAUACACCAUUCAUUCGCCACACAUGCACAUCUUGAUUUGGCUUAUUGAUUUGUUUCUUUGGAUCCAUGGUUUGACUAUGCAAUAAAUGUCUUGUAAGUAUGUGUACUUUAUCUCCCACCUAUGAACUCCAGAUAUUAAAGCCUUAUUAGAGUAGGGUGAGAGAAAAGGCAAUGUCACUAUGCCUCAUACCACAAAUACUACAUAUCUUGAGAGAAGGCAUAUACCAUCAAUGCCUUGGUAAGGAUCCAAAAAUACCACAAAAGAGAGACCUGAGAGAAUCAUACAAGGAAUUUCUGAGUUUUAUUUGAAAAUCUGCAAAAACCCCAGAGCUAUAGCUGAUCAAGAAUAAGAGACAUGGCACUUGACUAGACUGUUCUAUCUUUUAACUACUCAAGACAGAAGUGACAGUUACAAGUCCCAUGGUGAAGGUAAAGUAAGUAAGUUUUAAGUCUUGACAGUUUACUCUCACUCAGAGAUGAGAUCUUAUUUAAAAAGCAUGUGUACCGUUAAAUUUUAAAGAUAUUGCAACUACUUCUGGUCCAUAGCUGAGUCUAUCCUUGCUCAGGGACGAGCAAGAGGUAAGCUUGGGUGUGUUUGUUUACGGUCCUUAAGUAUCAAAUUUAAUUAUCAAAUAAAUAAAGAAAAGGAUCCAAAUGAAAUCAAGAUCUAGACUUAGGGUUUUAUCUGACAGAAUUCCACGAGUUUUGGUGUUUGUCUAUUUCUGCAGGGGGUUAUCAGGAAAUACGGAAGAAAGGCCCACAUGUCAGGAUUACGUAAAGAUAUUAACGUGCUGCGCAAUUAUCAUACAUCUAGAAAAGCCACGAGACCGAAGCGGAGGCGAAACGGGGCCAGAGGCAGGGCGCCCGCCCUGUCCUACUGGGCGCCCGCCCCCUGUUGGAGUCCAAACAGGACUCUGCUUUGCGGGAAGUCUCCACCGACCUAAAGGAAGAAUCUAAACCAUACAAUCUAUGUCGGUUUGAUCCAAGGGCCCAUAUUCACUUGAAGGGACUAUAAAACCAGACCCCCUGGCCCCUGGAGGAGGGAGCCUCUCAACCCUAAUUCAUUAUUCCAUCAAGGGAGAAGAAGCCUCUGAUCAAGAUUAGAGCCACCACAUCAAUUAGACAUCUAGAUUAGCAUAGCUACAUAGGAUUAGAAGUAGAAGGAGUCAAUCUUCGAUUGGUUUCCGGAUCUGUCAGGAGGAUUCUUGGUAAUUCUCUAAUUGUGCUUCUAAUUGCUUUCUAAUUAUCUUUGUUCUUCAAUAUUAUGAAUAUGACUUUGUUCUACUUCAAUAUAUUGCUUAUGACUUUGCUCUACUUGCUUAUAUUCAAGAUUAUAUUGUUCUUAGUUUAUCAUAGUUAUGUACUUGGCUUAGUUAGAUACGAUCUAUAUACAUGCUUAGGAUCGUAUAGCGUUUAUCCAUCGGAUCCAUGGGUAAAUGAUAGAUAUUGUGUAGGCAUGGUGCUUAUACCGUAUUUAUCUGCGAUUGUACCCAAUAUGCCAGAUCGUGGGGUGGUUCGUGAUAGUGACAGCUUCAUUGAUUCUUAUAUAGUCCCCCUCUCGUGUAUUGGGCUGGCAGAGCAACAUUAUUACAGGGGAGUGAUUGCUAUGUUUCUCAUAUUCCUUGCUAAUAUCACUAUGCAUGGGCGUAGUCUUGUCUCGCAAUGAUUGCUAAGUAUGCUUGCACUAACUAUGAUAAUGCUAGACUAUAUAGUUAAGAAUAACUUAGGGAAUAUUCUUGUAGUUCAUUCUAAUACCAUGCUAAUGACUUUCUAGAGUAUCUAAUUGAGGUGCUUAUCAUAUUUAUUAUGUGGCUAGAUCAGAUUAGUUAUCCUUGUCACUAUUAUUAUUUCAUAUAUCUUUUAUGUGACACUUAUCCCUGUAUGAAGAGUUAGAUAUAAUGUUCUCAAUUAUACAUGCAAUGAUAGAUGCUCAAUCUCAUAUUCUGUUCUGUAAUCAAUACUGAUGAUUGCUAAUCCCUUCCCAGUGGUAAAAAUAUAAAUAACGAUACCUGGAAUACUUCCCGGUUAAAAUGCUGCAUCGGUAUUAAUCUGUGCGCUUGCAGAUCCCAUUCAUUAUUUAUUUAGAAGAGCAAUUGCAUAUUUCAAUACCGCGUCUCUCAUGUCAUGCUGGGGAUGACAACUUGGCUUAAGUGGUGUGAGGGAUAGGUUUGGCAUUUUUGGCACCGUUGCUAGAUUUAGAACUUAGUCUACUUUUAGUAAUGAUGUUAAGAAUACCCAACAUCGAGUCGGAGGCUUCAACUUUCGUACGGAUGCUCUUGCUAUGUACAUCAGUUAGGGUACCCCUUACUGAUAUCCUCGACAAUAGCCCCCGAGUCUCUAUUCGAGCGCUUGCGCUCGAGUGGAGGCUCUUUUUUGUGGUCGAGUUUCCAUGGGGGCGCGCGAGCGACCCCGCGGGGGUAGCCCCCGAGCCCUUGGAGGAGUUUUUGACUCCUUCGAGGGUUAUAUUGCCCAAUCUGCGGAAGCACUCUCGAUGUCCAUCGUGGAAGGCGAGCUGAAGGCUUUGAUUGGUUUGUUUCGCGGAGGGGUCACGACGUACUCCCGGUGGAGCGAGCGUCAUCUACCCCAGAUUGAGCUCCUAGCGGGUAAUCCAAGUGAGAACCCGUUCCUGGUUCGAGGAGGUCGGCUGUAGCUCGGAGGCGUUCUCACAAAGCGGGGUCGACGUGGUCGGGGUUACUGGUCUCGUUCGAUAGAGUCCAGCGGCUCGAUGCCUCCCCUCGGGGGGAUUCAUAUCGACCAUCUCAUCCUCGCAUUGGACAUCCCCAGCGAGUCCUCGAGGGGGCCUCUUUCUUCGACCGCUCGCCGGGCAUCCCUGACUCGGGUACUCGAGAUCGGCUGUCGAACCCGUUCGGUGUGUCAGCCUGCGACCUCUCGAGGUUCUCAUGAAUACGUACCUUGGCUUACAGGGGAAGGAAAAGAUCACGGCGGUUCGCCUUUUUGCCCGUUGGGCGCACCUUUUUAGGCGGGAGCCGUUGCGACACCGUACCGGCGUGGAAUUCAUAGCGUCCCGUCUGUGAGAGAGAUAAGGACCGUUAGACGGUGCAUUUAUUGGAGAAGCUACCGUAUCUGUCGGAUCUGUCCAUUGGUGGGUUGCCGACUAUAAAUAUCUUGUGGUCUUCCUGUCGUCGCUCCUUCCGCCUUCUGCCCCUGUUCUUGCCUCUGCUUCCUUGCCAUCUCACGCGCGCGUACCCUCGAGCAGUAGUGAAGUCUCCCUCCUCCCACCUAAAAAUGCCGGUGAGACUCAUCGCCGCCGAUGACUGGCGCCCGUCGUCGAUGACGGAGCGCCGGCUGUUGGAGCUCGAGAGGGAGGGGCUCCUGCGUCCCCGCGUAUCUUCGUCGCGGCCGGAGUGGAUCACGCCAGCGGCGGACCACCGGGAGCCAAGGCCGCCCAAGGGCUAUGUGGUCUCCUUCGCCAAGUUCCACCGCCACGGCUUGGGCUCUCCUCCGAGUCGUUUCAUGUGGGCGCUCUACCACCACUACGGGGUGGAGCUCCAGCAUUUUUCGCCGAACGCCGUCACCGCCACGGCAGUUUUUGCCGCGGUGUGUGAGGGCUACCUGGGGAUGAUGCCGCACUGGGAUUUGUGGCUCCACUUGUACCGGGGCGAGCUCUUCAAUGCCCCCAGUGGAACCACAGGGGUGAGGAAGCUGGUACGGGCCAGGUGCCUCAACCUGGUGCUCAAGACUGGCAAGUCGGAGAGGCCGCGCGAGUACAUCCUGGUGGGGUUGACGUCGUACCAUGCCGGAUGGGACUCCCAAUGGUUUUACUUACGGAACGACGACGACCUCUUCCUCGCCUACACCGGGCGCUUGAUUUCGAAGCACCCGGACCACUGGAGGUACGGUGUUGUUCAAGCCCACCAACCGUGGCUCGACCCCAUUCUCGACGCCCUGAAGAAGCUGCGUGAGGAGGGCCUGACGGCCGCACUCGUCCUUUCUGCCGUACAUCACCGACGAGUGCUCCCGUUGAUGUCUCGGCCAUUGAGGAUGGACGAAAUGGGCCCUGGCGUCUCGUCUCGUGUUCUCGAGGCUUGCUGGAUGUCUAACGAAGCGCCUGCGGACGAUGAGGUCGCCGCCAGGGUUAGGGCGGCUCUUGCAGGUGAUUUUCAGCCUGGGCAUGUCAACGGCUUCCCUAUGAGGCCCGAUCAGGGGUCGAUCGACUUGGUAAGUUCUUUUCCUAUUUACGGUUCUGAUUCUCGAUUUCCUUUGACCUUCUUUAAGACUUAUCUUUGCUCAUGCAGGGAUCAAUCGACGCUCGAUCCUCAAAGCCUCCAGUGAAGGAGGACGGCGUGGAUCGCGACAAGAGGCGCGAGUCCGCGGAGAAGCUGAAGUCCGCAAAGGACUUGGGAAAGAAGGAGGAGAAGAAGAAAACUCUCGCGUGACAUGCGUUGGAGACUCGUCGAGCGAAGUCCAGGCAGAUGGGGAGCCUGAGGAAGAAUCCCCUAAUGAGGACAAUGGCGGCGACGGUGAUGACGACAGCGACGACUCCGAGGGGAUGGCGUCCCGUCUUGACAGGAUCCUCGAGGGCCCGCCUCAGACCGGCGUCGACGUCCCGCGGACGGGAGUCCCUAGGGGGCGCCAAGCGGGUCUCGUGAGAGUCAACAGAGGGAGUCAUCCCCGCGCCGACACUCCCCUAUAGCCUGCGCAAGGUCGGACCGUCCCCCGCCCCCAACCUCCUCCCGCAUCUAAGGCGGGCCAUCGGGUUAAGUCUCUGGUGACGGGGCCGUUGACCCGUGGCCAUGCCGCGACCUCGAGUAAGGGGGAAACAGGUCGUAGGAGUGCUAGUCCAGGCGCUGGUCAGGCGGGAGACGCCGAGCCGAGACUCGUGCCCAUUCGUGAGGGGCCUGGAGCCUCGACGCGGGGUGGCUCGUGGCCUGCAGGUCGAGGCGCUAGUAGGCGGGUCGCUCUUCCUGUGGGGUAAGAUUUUUGACGUCGUGAUUCUUACCUCCCAAUGUCUUUGCAUUUUCUCAGGUAACGGCUUCUCUUACGCUUGUUCCUCUUUCCUCAGGUUGAAGCGGCCGCUCGAACAGGGCCAGCCCUCGAUGGCCAAGAGGCUUACGGUGGGAGCGGCCUCCAAAGACUCAGGUUAGCGGUUCAUUCCCAUUAUCAUGGGAGUCGUGUUACCCUUAUGUUGAUCAUCAUGGUGACUGACUUUUUGAUUUUGAACGCUUACAGGCUCCUCCAAUCCUCGGCCGUCGACGGGUGUCGAGAGCGCCCCACCUCGUCCAUUGGUGGGGGAGUCCACCCCGCCGUCGCCGAAGCGGGUCGAGGCGCCUCGCCCCCAAGAGCAGGAGGGAGCCCCCGAGCCUCCCCGAUCUGGGGUCGAGGGGGAUCCUAUCACUAUAAGUGACGGGUCUAGUGGCAACAGGCUUUCGAAGGACGCCCGCCCCAUGGACGAGGAGGUCGAGGCUUCUCCCGUCGCGAAGCAGACACCUUGGCCCAUCGGGCUCCACUCCGUCGAGGAGAAGAGGAAGAACGCGAGCGGGCGAAGGAGAGGAGGGGCGACGGCAAGAAGGGGUCCAGCUUGAGGAGCUGCUUGAGCAGGACCGGCAGCAAGAGCUAUGGGAGCUCCAGAAGCAGCAGCAGAGGGGUCAGCAGUUAGAUGAACUGCUGGAGCCACCGCCACGCAAGUCCGUCCCAGCCGGUGCCGCCGUCACCACAGGGGCCUGAGACCGGGGAGGAGGGUCUGCCGGUCUAUGGCCUGCCGACCCCUGCGUGGCUCCGUCUGGGAGCGCCUGCUUCCAUCCCGGCUUAGCCAGGGCGGGCGGACAGCGUGGUGGCACUCGCUUGCAUGAUGCGCACCUCGGUGGAUCCUCAGUCCGAGAUCAAGGGCACGAUCUAUGGCAUCGAGGGGAUCGCUCCCGGAUUUCUCCGAGAAUGACGGCCGUGGGAAGAUCACAAACCCUCUGAGGAGGAUGAAGCCGGGACGUCGGGUGGUGGCGCUACCGACGAGACCGAGACCUGGAAGACAGUGGAUGAUGACAGACGAUUCCCCUCCCUUAUCGACCUAUUUUUACGUCAUGGGGGGUCACUCGAGACUGUCAAAGAGCUCAUCCGGGGUGUCAAGGUGCGCACGGAGGAGGAGAUGGAAAACUGGUGCCCCGAUCGGAUCCGCAUUCGGGCCUCCACCGACCCAUCCGAGCCUAACAUUUUUAUGGAUGAUCGGAAGGAGGCCGAAAAGUGGGAACAUCUCGAGGAGCUUCGCCUCUGGAUGAAGCACGUGGUGGGGCUCCUAUCUGACGUCGUCAACAGCGGGCUCGGUCCAGCUUACUUUGUAAGUGUAUUUGGGCAUUAGUUAUCGUAGGACGUUUUGGUUUUGUGUUCUUACUGUUCCACUGCUGGCUCGCAGGAUCUGAAAGAGACCGCCCGUAUAAAGUCGAGAUUUAUCCACGCGACGAGGGGUGGCUGGGAGCAACUCCGUCUCCUCAAAGACCAACUCCUGGAGUCGCAGGAGAAGCUCCUCAAGGCUUACAAGGAGCUUUUGGCGCUCAAGGAGGAGAAGAAAGAGAGGGAGGCCGCUCUGGCCGAAGCUCGGGAGACCUCGAGGAAGGCGGUGGAAGAGGCUACGCUGCUGAGGGAGCGGACCAUGUCGGUCGAGGAGGCUGCGUCCAAGGCUCAGGAAGAGGCCGUAUUCUAUAAGGAUGCUGUUGGUGCAAAAGUUGAUCUGCAAACACAAAGGGCUAAUACCCGAUUCAAACAUUAAGUCGUGCAAGCCGAUUUGACCUUACUAUUGACAAAGGUGAUAACUCGAAUACUUUGGUCCCGACAACAGCGAUGCGCCCAGAUGUCACGGCCAAGAGGUAUUCACGUGGAACUCGAGAAUACGCCGAGCUUAAGUCGACGAACUCCUAAGAACUCAUAAUAAAAAGGAAAAUAUGACGAAGUCGUCGAAAAAGUAGAUGCUGGAAUAUGAGUAAAAACUUGUGUUUGAUUGAUUGAUAGAUAUAUCAUUACAAAGCCCUAGGGUCUACAUUUAUACCUUGCUCAAAGAGCUACAAUCAGACACGACUAGGACUCGAAUUCCAAAAUAAAUAGAAUCCGUAUACAAAACGAAUUUAAAUAACUAAGGAAAACAUAAAACUACCCCCUUGUAACCGACCGGGACAACGCCACAGAUCAAUCGGCAACCUCCACGCUUUCCUUCAGAGUCAUCGGCAGUCUUCCUGUUAUGGCCAUCGGCAAACACCAAUAUCAAUCAUCGGCAAGAACACGUCACCACCUCUAGACUAGUUACCGUUGGUCCACCAAUAUUCAAUCAUCUCUUCAUUGGUAAUUAUCCUCAUCGGCAACUCUUCUGCAGACUAGUUACCGUUGCUCCACCUGCCGAUCUAUACUCCACUGGUCCCUGGGUACGUGUCUAAAAACGGUGUCAACACAUGCACCCCAAUUUCGGAGUAUAAAAUCAUUAAUGCUCCAAAAUUCUCUGCAGUAAUGAUGCCUUUCCACAAAUAAUUCUCCCAAUUUGGUAACCGACCGUCUAAAUCUGAACAGCCUUGGCCCGAUUCUCCUGCAGGUUCCUCGAAUUCCUCAACCUUCCGAACCAGAUCUCUCCACUUUAUGCGCCCAUCAGCAAUGUUACCGUUAGAGGGAACUGCCGAUGGACCGACCAAGAGAUCCCGCACAGUAAAAUAUCUCCAGAUCAUGACCGCUUCCCGUCAAAUCACCUGCGCAAUCCCUUGAUUACCGUGCGAACAGUUACCAUAUCCACCUGAGUACCCUCGGAUUUCACGGAUAUGGCGAAGAGAUAAGUCAAAUCUUCCCUUGCCCGUUUUGCCCUAUAAAUACUUCCUUCUCGGGUACUCCUUCUCCAUUGCAUCAGUUGACCCCUCCUGUCAGCCCCGAUGUCGUUUGGACAGUCGCCGUCCGGCGCCGCGUGUCCGGCCAGGUGUCGGCCGUACGCCGUCGAUGACCCCUCCUGUCAGCCCCGAUGUCGUCCACAAGACGCCACGCACCGAGUGGACGCCUCAGACGCGCCAUUCACCUGUCCAGAGCCUCCCAUUGCGUCCGCCUUCGUCCUCAGCGAGCUCCGCCGCGCUUCGGCGAGCUCUCCCGGCCGCUCCACCGUGUCUCCGGCCGAGCCAAUCCGCUCAGAGCUCUGCCUCGACGUCCUCUACCUCGACGUCCACUCCUUUCCCUUAGCCGAGUACCGGUGAGGCCGCAUUGCCAACUCCGUCGUGAGCUCCACCUCGCCGGAGUUUACAGAGAUCACCGGCAACGUGGCCAGACCUCUCUGGUUCACCUCUAUCCAUGAUUCUUCUUCCUAUAGCUUCACCUUGAGUCACUCUUGCUCGUCCGCAACCUCUACCGCGUCGCCGUUGCCUAGGUUCGCCGGUGUAACGCCACGCAGCACCGCCGCUCCACCAUUCGCGACGGCGAGCACCCUAGUAGGUCAACGGAGUCGCCUUGAGGAGAGGAACAUGUAGAUGUCCUUGGAUCCAUCGGAGACCUCGCCGUCGUCGAGUUCCGCCGGCGAUGAGCUUCUCCCCUGUCUCUGUCUCUCUGUCGCGUGGGUCCCGUUUGUUAGCGGAUCCCACCUAUCAGUCUCACCCUCUCACACUCUGGUCACUGUAUAGUAGGUUCUGUGGUGUUUUUGAAAAAUUCAUAUCUCGAGUUUUAUAGAUCCAAAUGACAUGGUUCCAAUUUUGCUAUGUUUUGGUGGUAAUCUAGUUUUUAUUAAAAAUAUAAAACAUGCCAUGUGUUUGCAGAAAUAAAUAUAUAUGAUUUAACCUUGAUUAUAUAGGAGAUAAUUAUAUCUUGAGAUCUGUUGAUAUGGUGGCCAUGCAAAUUUAGGGUGUUGUCACUUAUGACAUGAAUAGGCUCUGAUAAAUUUAUCAUGAUUUUUGGAGGUCUGAUUGUGAAGUUAUAAAUAUUUCUUGCUUAAAUAGGAGUUUCUUGUGGUAAUUUUAGUAAAUAGAUUAUAGCGCCUUUUGUGGUGACACUUUCUGAGUGUUGUACUCUUGUGUAAACAAAGCUAGGAAAAAUCUCAAAUCUGUUGUUUGACACUUUUUGGUAGGGUUUCACAUUUAUGCCUUGCAUGCCUUUUCUAGCUUGUUAUUUUUGUAUCUCACAAUCUGUAUGUGCAAGUGCCCUAAAAGUUGUUCAGUAACCUUGUGUUAGCAUAAGUAGCUUGCUGUAAUUUUCUUAGAAUUCUUGAAGCACUUGGGGUGCAUGUUCAUUAAAUCACCUUAAUAAUUAAAUAAAUCAAAAAGGUGAUGAUAGAAAUGAGUUUAGACCUUGCCAUGAUAUUUUCUAGUGUUUUUUAGACAUGUUAUAUCUAAUGGUGCAUUUGGAUUGACCCUUUUAUACAUUCUUGUUAUGUGCAAAAUAUUAUUUUUGCUAUUUAUGCCUUUCCUAGAGCAAUUCUAUGUAGCUGAUAGCAAUUGCUUAAUAACUAAUUGAAGAUGAUGUUUUCUGGGAAACUUGUAUAUAACAAACUGGUAGCUAACUUGCUUAUCUACUACGUGUUCAAGUUUCAUGACAUUUAGUUGAGUAGUUUAAAAGUUAUGCAUGUUACAAAUAGCUGCUGCAAAGUGCUUGCUCUCUGGAUUUUCCAGGACAGCCAGCCAACUUUGUAUGUUUUAGCAUAUUUCGGUUGGGAAUCAUUCUGGGAUGUCUAAAAGUGAAUUGUAGCCAAUUUACUAAGCUUUCUAGAAAGUAUCUAUUUGCUUAGUUUGGCCACCUGAUGCUUAACAGGUGACUAAAACUUGUGACUAGUUAAUCUGUACAUGACCCCAGUUGUUGUGUAUGGGUAGCGAAGGUUAAUUGCUUGUCUAGUUAGCCUCUCUACCAGAGAAGAAGUAUGUACUUACUUGUUAUCUCAUGGUCCUCAUAAUCUCAUGAACACUAUACUCAUGUUUAUGCAUGGCUUUAUGUUCCUUUGGCUCUUCAUCAUGACAUCAUGCAUCAUAUGUGCAUUCUCUAUAUUUAUCUCCUUGUCAUGCAUACAUAGGUGUACCCAAGGGCGUGACGGUUUUGGAGUUCGAGCUGCCGGAGCUGGUAGAACAGCAAGGGGAGCCACCUCAAGGAGCUGAGGAGGAGGACUUACCGGAAUGUCCCGACCAUCGCCCGUCCACCUACGUUGAAGGCAAGCCCCGGAGCAUUAUAAGCCUCCUACUAUUUUGUUACCAUGUCCAACUAUCAAUUGACUAUGGUUAUGUAUUGUUGCAUUAAGUGUUAGGUGUUUAUAUGACACCCUUGCUGCAUAAUGACUACCUUGUCCACCUCAUACCUUACCUAAAUAGGUCCAGGAUCGAAAUGAUGCUUAGCCAUGCUUAGCUCGGAAGAAGCCGGGUGAUUUCCUGUCACCUGCGAGAGAUAGGUGGAUGCUGAUCACGGUUGGCUAUAUUUGCUAUCGUGGAAAUAACCAUGUGCUAAUAAUGAACUUGAGACCGAGCGGGAUGAUGAUAGUGCAGCAGCAAGGCAUUGAGGUCUUUGGUGUGAAUCUAUCCCCGUCCGUGUCGGUUAAGGACCGAUUCGUUGUGCGUCCUCGUGUCAUGUUGAACGCAUGCCUAACACUUAGCUGGCCAGAUAAGUCGUUCCGACCGCGAAGCCUACGAGUGCAACUCAGGCCGGAUACCCCAUUCUGUAUGAGUGCGCACCCCGGUUGGUAGUAAGUAUGUGCGGGGAGUCAAUGGCGUAAGUCCGAGGAGUCAGGUUAGAGUCCUGACCCUGGCAGAUUGGCGGUCCCUAGGGGUGCGGCACUGGACGGACCGCAAAUUGGUCCGGAGUUGUGCUAAAGGUGAUCUGAGCUGCCCUCAUGAAGUAUGCUUGGGUGAGUGCUAGGAAUACCCCUCCAGCUGGAUAGGAAUCGAUUCGAAUCGCCGUCUCUCCCGGAUAGUGAGAACUUGACUCGGGCAGUGUCAACGUAGAACUUACUAAAUAAACUUGAUGGUUAUGAUGAGAAUGAUGAUAGCUAAGUGAUAAUCCGGAUAUGGUUAUUAUUGUGAUGCUUAAAUACUCAAGUGUAUGCUUAGAACAGGUGCUAAUCUAGUGGAUAGUUGUUAAAGUAAUGAACCUGCUGCUGAAAUAUUAUAAAUGGGUUACUUACAACUAAAGCUUUUUAUGCAAAAGGGUGAGUCAAACCAGCCCACAAAGAUCAGCCUUGCAUACUCCUUGGUGUCACUUUAUUUUUGGUUUAUGACGGGUAAGUCUAGCUGAGUACAUUCUCAUACUCAGGGUUUUAUUUACCCCUAUUGCAGAUGAUGUCGUUUACCUCGGCUACUGUGCUAACUGUCAUCAUCCGGCUGCGGACGAUGAAUAGAUCAUGGGCAUGAUCACCUCCUCUAUCUUCAGUUGUGCUUUUGUUGGGUUUGACAAUGGAGCUGGCAUGUAAUUUAAACUGAGUUUGUGAUGUUUCAAAACUACUUUGUUUCCGCUACUACUCUGGUUUGUAAUAACCUCUUUAAAACUCUAAUGUGAUGUAAAACUAUGUUCUGUGAUGAAUGUAUGUAAUCUAUGAUGGCAAUGCUUGAUCAUGUACGAUCUUGGUUGUAUGUUGGUUGAAUCGUGGUCUUUUGAGAUUUCGUCGGACUACCGGGUUUAUAGUCCAUUGGGUUGACUGCCUCCGUGGUCGCUAAUUCACUUGAAUUCUUAUAAAUUGGACGGUUCUGUUACAUAGCUACCUCAUACUUUUGGUCAGACACACUCAACGCUUUUGUGUUCGGCCAUGGCCCUGCUUCUCCAACACUUGCCGAUGUGCUUAUGCUCACCGGCUUAGAUAUAUCCACUGCCGAUACCACCCACCUAUUGGACACCAAACCCAGUGCUAAGGUGGAAACUCGUUCUAUCGGCGGUUGGUCAGGGUACAUCCAGAAGUACCAAAGGAACAUACCACUUUUCUGAACAUGUGGCUGGAUAAAUUCGUAUUCUGUGGCCGAUCGGCAGGACCAACUUCUGUUUACUUAUCGGCAGCAGAAAGAUUAGCCAAUGGCGGCCGAUUUCCUCUUGGCCGAUACUUGCUUGGUUCGGCUUAUCACCUCCUCCACCAGGUAGCCCAGAAACUUCUGCUUGGUCAACCCAUCGGCAACUUAGGGGGUCCCUGGUGGUUCAUCAAUAUGUGGCUUAGUCUUCACAUGCACAAGCGCCUUGAGUUCGACCUCUUUGCACGGUGCUUCCCUAGGGAUAUAGCCGAGGAUUAUGAACUGAAUGAAGAAAAAUCGGCAACUCAUUCCCCUCUGAACUUUGGCGAAGCUGCCAUAGUUUUGCCUGGCACAGGUGGUAACGCAGACAAGGUUAGCCGAUUCUUCCAAACUUUGUAUGAGGGUCUGACCAGAGAAUAGUGGGCAUGGAUGCCUUAUGAAGAUCCAGACACCAGAUUCCCCCUGACUUUCCACCCCUUCAACGAUGCUCUCAACAAAGAUCGUGAGGUGAUGAUGGCAAUUAUCACUCCAAGAGCUAUACCAGUGAACUUCUUUGGCAGUGGGAAAGCUUCUAAUCUGACUUAUGAGUUCUACAACCCAUCGGCACUAGCUCGCCAACUAGCUUUCGGCCAACUGCCGAUUGCACUCUGCUACGUCGAUGUGAUAAAGCCAAGGGAAACUAUCACUAGCCAUCUCGACUGGAUCAAAGUAGCCCAACUUCCACCAAAUGCCGAUACGGACGUUGAUCUAUCGGCUUGGAUUCCAGCUCUCUUCAUCACUCAGACAUACAAACAGUGGUGGGAAGAAUGGAAAGAACACCUAUUCUGCAGAUCAGCUCUCACGUACCGUGGCAUGAUCGACCCCCACUACAAAGUCCCUGAUAACAAUGUAAGUACUUUAAUACCGAUGCUUCAAUCCCUUCACUGUCUUUUUCCAUCGGUAACUCACUUUCUUUGCCAUAUACAGGUCAAUGACACACCGCCAUUGGUCAGCAGGAGUGGUAAGCCGAUUGAGCUCCUUCCAUCGGGCCCGAUCUCUUUGAUCGGCAACAACGCUCCAACCAUGGUUGCAAUGCAUCGGGGUGUGCGUCUCAAGAAAGUUACCACCAAGCGGGCGAAGAUAUCCCCAUCGGUAGCUGGCUCAACCUUAGCACAAGCCUUCAAGGUAAAUUUUUGAAUUCUUUUAUUCAUACCGAUUUCAUUCUUAUACCUAUCACACUUGUACUCAUAAACUUCUUAUUGUUGUAUCAGCACACCGGUACAUCGGCAAAGACCAGAAGUACGACUGCCGAUGCCCCCCAGUCCAGUCAACCGAAGAGAAAAGGCUCCAAGAGUACUAGAUCACAAGCGAAGCGCCAGAGAACAACAACGCCUUCUCCUCCCCCAGUAUCUUCGAUCCCAGUAGAAUCAUCCCCUUCUCCUCCAGAAGCCCAGACACAACCAGCACCGCCGCCUCCUCAACCACAAGAAGAAACCCAAAUAGAAGAACUCUAGCCAGAAGAACCUCAGCCAGAAGUACCCCAGCCAGAACAAACAUCGGCUGAUGUACGCGAGCAGACUACCGAUCAUGCAAGCUUAAUCAUAGCAUCGGUAGUUUCCUCGAUUCAGACUAGUACUGCACCUCCUCAAGGUAACAUACUCUUUAUUUAUUGCCAAUGAACCCACUUUUUUCAAAUUGUAAUCACCUCUGUUAAUCUUUCAGCUGACAUAGUCUCAUCAGCAAUUCCAGCCGAUCAACCUAUGGUUCCAUCGGCUUCAACAUGUCAGAGGGGAGAGAUAGCUCUAAAGCAAGUAAGUUACCCGAUCCUUAUUUUUAUUGUUAUCAGUACUUGAUCAUAAAAUAACUUAUUCUAUCUUCUUCUCCAGGAACACGAUUCUCCCGACAGCUUGUUCUCCUUCGCCAUCGAGAUCUCUGAGGAUGAAGGCGAGGAAGCAAGUUCUUCUUGAGCAGUUGGAAUCUCAUCGGCAGAGAUUAGAGCAAAGCUGGCGGAUCUGCCAGCCCUUCUCCAUCAAGACACAGUACAAUUGGUCGAUGACUCUGAUCCAGCCAAAGUUCUGUUCAAGGCUCUCAGAGGUCAAAUCCCUACUGAUGUCGAGGAGGUUCUUUUUCAGGUGGCACAUUUAGAGAGUCGUCAGCUGCAGUAUCAAAAGGCUGCCCAGAGUCUUGCCGAUAGAGCUGCUCACGCUCAGCUCUCAGAGGAGAUGAUGAAAGUGAAGCUCCUUGCCGAUGUGAAGCAUAAGAGCAUCGGCAUUCUGAAAUCCUAAGGAGAUGUACUGAAGCAAAAGAUCUCUGAUCUAUCGGCGAGAAGGGAAGCUCUGUUGGCUGAACUCAGACAAGUGGAAGAAGCUCUGUCCCAAGCUCAACAGGAAGAAAGCCAACUGCCUGAAGAAAUCAAGACCCUUGAACAAGAGCGAAACAUCCAAGCUCGUAAAGCACUGCAGAUGAAGAAGAAACUGAAGCUAGUGGAAGGCUCUGCUGAUGAUGACGUGAAGGAGAUAGAAUAAGCCAACCAGAUCCGUCUGCGCGCCAUAUCGAUGAUCCAGGCUCUGUUAAACAAGUGAACUCUUCAUCGGCGGCGUUCUUUGCUCCUUUCUUCUAAUCAUAUUGGUCCAGCCGGUAGGACUGUUAUCGGCAUCCUUUUAAAACAUUAAGUCCAGCCCCCGAUACACUUUUAAUUCAGCCGAUAGGAAUGUUAUCGGCACUUAAACUUUCAUGCAUCAAGCCAUAUGCUGGGGUAAUAUCUCUUUAAAUAUUUGCCAUUCAAAGCUCUGGGAAAUUCAACUCCUUCGAGAGUUUUUAAGAUAUAGGUGUUGCCAGGAGCAGAUCGAUUUAUCCGAUAGGGACCCUCCCAAUUGGGAGACCACUUCCCAAAUUUUGAACUUUUAGUCCCGAUCGGUAAGAUUAGUUUCCAUACUAAGUCUCCAUCGGCAAACUCCUUAGCCUUUACCUUCUUAUCAUACCAUCUGGCAACUCUCUUCUUAUUUUCUUCUAUACUUAUCAAAGCCCUUAGCCGAUGCCCUGCUAAAUCAUCCAACUCGUCUGUCAUCAAAGUAGCAUAAUCAUCGGCAGCCAAUUGAUUUUGAAAAGAUAGUCGCCUAGACCCAGUUUUAAUUUCCCAAGGUAGCACUGUAUCAUGUCCAUACACCAACUGAUAAGGUGAAACUUUGGUCGACCCAUGACAAGCCAUCCCAUAUGACCAUAAAGCUUCAUUCAACAACGUAUGCCACCUCCUAAGAUUUUCUUCAAUCUUCCGUUUAAUAAGUUUGAUAAUUCCUUUGUUAGACGCUUUGGCUUGCCCAUUAGCUUGAGCAUAAUAAGGAGAAGAAUUCAUCACCUUAAUUCCCAUACUGAUUGCGAACUCAUCAAACUCCCCUGAUGUAAACAUAGUACCCUGAUCGGUAGUAAUUGUUUGAGGAAUUCCAAAUCAGUAAAUAAUAUGCUCUUUCACAAAAUCAAUCAUAUUGGCCGAUGUGACUUUCUUCAAAGGAAUAGCUUCAACCCACUUGGUGAAAUAAUCGGUGGCAACCAAGAUGAAUUUAUGUCCUUUGCUUGAUGGCGGGUAAAUUUGGCCAAUUAGAUCGAUAGCCCAUCCCCAGAACGGCAAAGGUUUAAUAAUGGGAUUCAUGGCCGAUGCGGGUGCCCUUUGAACAUUGCCAAACUUCUAACAUCCUUGACACCCCUUGAAAUAUUUAAAGCAAUCUUCAAGUAUGGUUGGCCAAUAAUACCCAUUCCUCCUAAUCAUCCAUUUCAUCUUAAAAGCCGACUGAUGUGCUCCACAUACUCCUUCAUGGAUUUCCCCCAUUAAACUUCUAGCCUCAUCAUUACCUAAGCAUUUGAGAAGAACUCCAUCAAUUGUUCGAUAAUAUAAUUAAUCUUCGAGGAGCACAUACUUGGUGGCUUGAAACCAAACAUGUCUCUCAACUUUCUUGGAUGGAUCCUUUAAAUAAUCAACGAUUUCUUUUCUCCAAUAUUCGGCACUGAUUGCCGAUAUUGUGUUUAACAUGGGUUGAUAUCCCAAGGCAUGCUGAGCCAACCGAUUGGCCUCUUCAUUAUACAAUCGAGAAAUAUGCUCUAAUCGGAAAUCCUUGAAUUCCUUUAAUAGUUGCAUACUCCUUUCGUAAUACGUUAUUAAGACCUCACUUCGGCAUUCAGAACUUCUAGAAAAUUGAUUUAUAACCAACAUAGAAUCUCCGAAGAUUUCAACAGCAUCAGCACGAACCUCUUUUAACAACUCCAACCCCUUAAUUAAGGCUUGAUAUUCAGCUUGAUUAUUUGUCGACGUGGCAACAAUCGGCAAGGAGAAUUCAUACUUCCUUCCCUGAGGGGAAAUUAAGACUAUGCCGAUUCCUGCCCCCCGGUCACACGUGGAUCCAUCAAAGAAGAACAUUCAAGGCACAAUUUCCAAAGUUUCCACUGCACCGCAAUGUUGAGUUACAAAAUCGGCCAUAAUCUAUCCUUUAACCGCCUUAGCCAAUUCGUAACGCAAAUCGAAUUCCGAGAGUGCCAAAAUCCAUUUACCGAUUCUGCCACUCAUGAUCGGCAUAGAUAGCAUAUACCGGACCACAUCAUCUUUGCAAAUAACAGUGCAUUCGGCCAAUAGUAAAUAGUGCCUCAAUUUGAUACAUGAGAAAUAUAAGCAUAAACAUAACUUUUCAAUGGCCGAAUAUCUGGUCUCAGCAUCAACCAAUCUCCUGCUUAAAUAGUAAAUCACACGCUCCUUGCCUUCAAAUUCUUGAAUCAAAGCCGAACCAAUGACCAUCCCAUCGGUAGAUAAAUAUAAUCUGAAGGGCUUUCCUUGCUGAGGUGGAAUUAGAACUGGAGGAUUUACCAAAUAAUUCUUGAUUUCAUCUAAAGCCAACUGUUGCUCUUUCACCCAUACGAACUCUUGAUCGGCUUACAAUUUGAGUAAAGGACUGAAAACACGAAUUUUACCAGACAAGUUAGAUAUAAAUCUCUUGAUAAAAUUUACCUUGCCGAUCAAGGACUGGAGCUCAGUUUUGUUGGUACGAGCAACUAUUUUGUUGAUAGCAUCAAUAGAUCUCCUACUAAUUUCAAUCCCUCUUUGAUGCACCAUGAAACCAAGAAAUUGCCCUACCGAUACACCAAAUGCACACUUAUUAGGGUUUAUCUUUAAACCAAGCUUCCUUGUGCAUUCCAACACUUUUCGCAAAUCGGCAAGAUGUUUUAUGAAAUCCCCAGACUUAACCACCACAUCAUCAAUAUAAAUUUCCACCAGCUUGCCGAUGAACUCAUGAAAGAUAAAAUUCAUACCCCUCUGAUAAGUAGCACCAGCAUUUUUCAAACCAAAGGUCAUGACUAUCCAUUCAAACAACCCAACAUGACCAGGACAUCUAAAUGCAGUCUUUGGAAUAUCUUCCUCAGCCAUGAAUAUUUGAUUGUAUCCUGCAUCGCCAUCCAUAAAGCUGAUGAUCCGAUGCCCAGCCGCAACAUCAACCAAUAGAUCGGCAACUGGCAUUGGGUAACCAUCCAUCGGCGUAGCUUUAUUAAGAUUCCUGAAAUCAAUGCAAACCCGAAGCUUAGCAUUUUUCUUGUAAACUGGAACAACAUUGGAAAUCCACUCGGCAUACCGACACUGCCGAAUAAAUUUAGCUUCGAUAAGUUUGGUUAUUUCAGCCUUAAUAUCAGGAAGAAUAUUAGGAUUACAUCGGUGAGCUGGCUGUUGAUGAGGCCGAAAUCCAGACUUGAUAGGUAACCGAUGAUCAACAAUCAAUUGUUCCAAACCAGGCAUCUCAGUAUAAUCCCAAGCAAAGUGUUUACGGUCCUUAAGUAUCAAAUUUAAUUAUCAAAUAAACAAAGAAAAGGAUCCAAAUGCAACCAACACCUAGAAUUAGGGUUUGAUCUGACAGAAUUCCACGAGUUUUGUUGUUUAUCUGUUUCCGCAGGGGGUUAUUAGGAAAUAAGGAAGAAAGGCCCACAUGUCGGGAUUACAUAGAGAUAUCAACGCACCGCACGAUUUUACAUCAUCUAGAAGACUCCAGAAGCCACGAGACCGAAGCGGAGACGAAACUGGGCCAGGCCCAGGGCGCCCGCCCUGGUAGCCUGGGCGCCCGCCCCCCUGUUGGAGCCAUAUCAGGACUCUUUCGCUCGGGAUGUUCCACCGACCUAUUGGAUCAAGGAAAACAUAGUACCACCUCACCUAUCGACCCAAAAUCGCAUAGAAGGGGAGGACUAUAUAAGCAAGGCCCCCCUGGCCCUGGAGAAGACAAGAAAUUAUCAUAGAGAUUGAGGGGUGCCCUCGAAGGAAAACCUCUUCUCUAAAUAAUAUUUCUUUUUAGGCGUAGCAACCAAUGUAAGGUAGAAAUAGAUCUUCUAGUUUCUACUAGAUUGAGAGAGAUAGAGUGGAGGUGUGGAUCGGAGGAAGGCCGGCAUGUCGGUGUCUACUCCGAGUUGUACCUACGGGAUCAAGUCUACUAACCCGAGGCUUGCUUCUAAGAUUCUUCAGUAAUUCGACUUCUAAUACUAGUAAGUUCUUGUUUUAUUGUUCUUUGGUUUAUGAGUUUACUUUAAUCCUCUUCCGGUUGAGUAUUAGAGUAAUCACUUGUUAGCGUAAACGUGGUGUUUAGGCUAGGGUACUCAUAGAUAUCCCCUGACUAGCUGGACCGUGGUAGUAGCGAGGAACGUGAUAAUUCCGAGUUACCUUUGCAGAUCACAUCUCGUUAGAAGGACGGGUAGGUUUAUAGGUGCGGGUCGAACAUCCUUUGUGUUGUCUAGAUUCCGUGAGCCUCCCCAAUAGAACAGUAGAUCAUCCUUACCAAGGUUAGAACGAGACUAAGGUUGCAGUCUUCUCUAUACAUCACUCACAUCGAGAGACAUGCUUUGUAGCCUAAAGGGAUAGUAGCAAUAGAUUUGGUUAGUCAGAUGCACCCUUUCUCCCAGUGGUAAAAAUAUAAAUACGAUAACUCUGGAUAACCUCCCGGGUGAAAUGCUCACCGAUAUCUGCGUGCUUGCGGAUCAUUUUCUAAUUGCGUUACCAAAUAUCAACAAGAAAACUUUUUGUGCCGAUAGUAUGCUAUAGUAGAUAUGGGAUAUUUUGUUGGACUAACCCCUGCAGGAAAACUUUCAAUAUCGACCUGGGAAGUCCUGAGAUACAAACUCAUUGGAGAUAAAGGAGACACAUGAAGUUUAACAAUUUGCACAAGAAGGACAUAGCUCAUUCAUGAUAAAGAGAUGAUCCAUGGAGGGUGCCACAAACACGAUGCACAUCCGCUAAAAAAGGAAAGCUUCCACAAGGUGAUACUGUACCGUCACUCUUCAAGUAAGGUAACAUUUUAAGGUACUUGACUAUCACUUUUAUAAGCUUCUCCUUGGUUCUAGCGUUCACAUAAAAUAAAGAGACAAACAUGUAUGAAUUGUAGCUCCAAAUUAAUCAACCCAAUUAAUUCAACAUGUUUAGUCCUUUAAUCUUUGUUCUUAGUACUACCUUCGUGAUCCCACACUCCUAAUCAUAUAAGCUAAAGUAUUGCACAUUCAAUCUUUGGAAGAUAUAAACUAAACAUAAAUAUAGAUAGAUUAUCUUUCCAUUAGGUUGAGCUAUCUGAUCUAACAAAUGUUUUAAAUGCUACACUCAUGAUCCAUCAACUUUGUCUUGCUCACUAUGCUUAAGGUUAGAGAAGAACAAAUACACUUUUGGUUCUGUUGGUGUUUUCCACCAACAGGGCCCAUACACUUGAUCUCUGCCUUGUCUCUAUGAACAGGUACACUUGAAGCAAAACAUGAAGGAGUUUUACAACUCCCAGAUUCCACCAAGUGAAGAACCUAGAUCUACAAGCACAAACACACUGAGCAGGAUAUUGCCAACACCGCACUUCGAACUGCUGGGCAAACAAAGAACAUAGGUGACACCGUAUCAAGAGGUGCAGACGUCAAGGUCCACACCUAAUCAAAUGAUGCACCUAAAGGAUGAAGACAGUGAGAAGUCUUGUCCAGAAGAUUUAGAACGUCGGAUCCUUGUUAGAGGAGGUCAAGAUCGUCGACUCAAGUCGCCUUUCCUAAUCAAGAAGGACAACCCUGGUGUUCCAAGCAUCGAAUGCACAAUCAAUGGAUACUCUUUUUAGAAGACACUCUACGACACCGGAUCUGACGUCAACAUAAUGGCCGCAGUCACUUAUCAGCUCUUGCAUGGAACCAUGCCCCUACAACCAAUAUACAUUCAGCUCUAGAAAAUUUUCAGGUCAUUGACAUGGGAGAAGACGAGUAUGAUCCACCCACCAUCCUUGGAAGACCGUUCCUCAACACUAUCAAAGCCAUCAUCUAUAUUGGAACCGGAGAAGUCCACAUGCACUUCCUCUCUGAGAAGGUACGCCACUACUUUAAUGAUUCUAACUAUAUAGUUGAAGAUUCUAAGCAGGUCAGGACAAGAAGAAGGCAACACAACCGCAACCAGAGGAGGCAGAUCAUCAAGGACGGAUGGGUAGACUACAAAGGAGAUAUGAUAAGGUCUGAACACAUACGGCUUGAACAGAACUGUCCUGAGGAGACCGUAGCACCGAGUCAGGUGUGGAGAAAGAAGAUAGUUAUACACGACGAAGAGGCGCCGCCGGAAUCACCGACUAUGCCACCUAGCGAAUCCCAGGACGACUAAGAAAACAGAGAGUCCCGUUCGGAGGACUUAAAAAUACCGAACGCCUUGCCAAGAGGUAAACUUGGUAGUUAUCCUUUUCCAUUCAAUAGUUUGCUUAGUUAAUCAGGUUCAUCUUGAAAAGAAAAUAAAUGUUAAAAAACUGUAAGCCCCAUGUGAGUAGACGAGUGGCAUAAAACCCAUAAGUACAUUCACUGUGGUGGCAUAAAAAUAAAAUAAAUAUUUUUCUGCUUUAUAAAAACAAAAAUAUAAAAACAGGGAGUAAUAUUUAUUAAGGAGUCUCAACAUGAUAAAGGCUAUAUAUUUAUGCUAACACUUAAUCAGUUCCAAAAGCUUUGUUGUUUAUUUGAGCUCCACAGAAUUUAAGAAUCAAGAAGACUAGCAGACGGAGGACAUUCUAAUCGCUGUCAAAAUACUGCUGACUUUCAAACACACCUCUGCCACCUGCUAGCUACAUCAAGAGAAAUUACGUCAAAAUUCAGCUUGGGGGAGAGCACCCCCAUGUAUCUCGAUAAGUAUUUCUAUCUAUCUUUAUACUUAUACUAUAUUAGAAUAUAAAUACACAUAACUAUAAAAAAACCAAAUAAAGAUUUUGUGCUUAUAUAUAUUUUGCUUAGUAUGUUUAAUAAAUAAAUAAAGUGGCUUUGCUAAUCUGUAUCUAAUAAAACUUAAGCAUGGAUAUGAUGAAUAGUUGCUCUGCCUAAUUUGCAAAUUUAAAGUUCUCUCUCAAGUUUAGACAUAACUGUUAUAAUUUAAAGCUUGCUCUAGAUCUAAACUUGUGGGAUGAAAACUUGAUCUGAAGUCUAAGUUGUUAACGGAUACGAUAUGGGAAGGUUGAGCUGCUGUUUAUCUGUUCCUAGAGAUGCUAGAAUUCUAGAGAAUUUUAUCUUUGAAAAUCUUUAAAAUAUUGCAUGAUGAGUUCCUGUAUGAUGAGAGUUUAAAUUCCUACCACAGCCAUAUAUACAUGCUUGCUAGACCUUGAGCCACACAUUUACUAUUUACUGCUUAUGAGCAUUGAGUGUAGUCAAGCUGUGUAGACCCUUAGGAGCUUGUCAUGUGGUUAAAUCAAGAUUCACUUGCACGUUCACUCAUAUAUGCUACUUCUACUCCGGAAGUACCAUCCACAUAUAUCCACUCAUUUCCAUCUCCAGGUUUACCCAAAAUUAUUCUACUCCUAAUCCGGGAGAGAAUAAGCCAAAAAACAUUUUCCUAUCCCUGUUAUUCCCUGUGAAAUAAAUGCUCCAGUUAUUUUGGUUACUACCACUUGCUACAUUAUUUCAGGAGAUGAGUGCUCUAGAAAGAAAAAAAAAGAAAAAAAAAGAAGAAAAAAAAUAAAUAAUAUACGAGGAAAUAAAAAGGGGCAAGUGCCCGGAACCUCGAAGAAAAGAAAAAGAAGAGCAUCUCAUUCUCCUCAUAAAGUUUCAAAAGCAAGGAAGGUAUGUAUCCCCUCAAAGAGCAAAAGUAGAAUUAGACUUCCACCACCAUUGUUAUCACCAUCAUUACCAUACACCAUUCAUUCGCCACACAUGCACAUCUUGAUUUGGCUUAUUGAUUUGUUUCUUUGGAUCCAUGGUUUGACUAUGCAAUAAAUGUCUUGUAAGUAUGUAUACUUUAUCUCCCACCUAUGAGCUCCAGAUAUUAAAGCCUUAUUAGAGUAGGGUGAGAGAGAAGACAAUGUCACUAUGCUUCAUACCACAAAUACUACAUAUCUUGAGAGAAGGCAUAUACCAUCACUGCCUUGGUAAGGAUCCAAAAAUACCACAAAAGAGAGAUCUGAGAGAAUCAUACAAGGAAUCUCUGAGUUUUAAAAUCUGCAAAAACUCUAGAGCUAUAGCUGAUCAAGAAUAAGAGACAUGGCACUUGGCUAGACUGUUCUAUCUUUUAACCACUCAAGACAGAAGUGACAGUUACAAGUCCCAUGGUGAAGGUAAAGUAAGUUUUAAGUCUUGAUAGUUUACUCUAACUCAGAGAUGAGAUUUUAUUUAAAAAGCAUGUGUAACAUCAAUUUUUAAAAAUAUUGCAACAAUUUAUGAUCCAUAGCUAAGUCUAUCCUUGCUCAGGGACGAGCAAGAGGUAAGCUUGGGGGAGUUUGUUGACGGUCCUUAAGUAUCAAAUUUAAUUAUCAAAUAAAUAAAGAAAAGGAUCCAAAUGCAACCAACACCUAGAAUUAGGGUUUGAUCUGACAGAAUUCCACGAGUUUUGUUGUUUAUCUGUUUCCGCAGGGGGUUAUCAGGAAAUAAGGAAGAAAGGCCCACAUGUCGGGAUUACAU